UUUUUUAGUGUAGGAUUUUCCUUGCUCAAGCCUGCCUACUAGAAUCGCCAGUGCUUGAAAGGAAAAGUGAAUGAAAAACAUCGGAAUUGGAAAGUUUCCUAUGGUACUACUUUUCAUGAAUUUGGUGCAAAGGAAUGGAGCAAAGGAAAACUAUAGGAUUUGUUCCUUUAGUGUCUCCUUGAAAGAAAAACCGUAGGAAUUCUAAUUUUCACUUCUCCUCCUUUUCAUAUUCCUAUUCAUCAAGCACAAGACUAAGAGAUAGUAGCAUAAUAGCAUUAUAACCGUACAUUUUCUUGUGGUUUGACUUAAUCUCACCAUGCUUUUUUGCAUCCUGUGAUCUUCCAAUUGUUGUGAAUCAAACACCCAGAUUGGCAGAAAUCCUGUGUUUUUAAAUUCUCUGUUUUGCACGUGCAUUCCUAUCCUAUUCCUGUUUAUUUCCUAUCCCUGCAUUGUUAGAAUCCUCAAAUUCAAACAAGCCCUUACUCAAUUACUUAUGUUACAGAUAUGUGUCAAAGAAAACCUUGUGUGGUUUGUCCUGCUCCUGUGGCGCUGUGUUCCACCCCAGCUCAGCUGCUCCAACGACGGAAGGGUUCACCACAGCAGGGAUCCGCUCUCCAGAAUGUCUUUCGCCGCCUCAGAUCUUCUUCCCCGCCGCCGGCAGCCACGGCAACUGCAUUACCAUCAUCAUCUGAGCAGAUGACCUUGAGGACUACACGGGUCCGCAACAGAGGUCGCACUCUUCUGUGUCUGCUUACGUUAUGCAUCGCUUAAUAUGAUGACAUGCUACAUUAUCGUCGUGUUCACCUAUUAGACUCCGAGUCAGGUCCAAACUAAUGCUGAAACUUGAGUUUUUAAAUGGUUGUGGGGUACAUAUUGGGGCAGCAAUCAGUACUAUCUGUCUACUAUUUGGUUAAUCUCCGGUGUCUACUAUGAGUUUCAUGUUGGGUGCAAACAAACAUUAAAGGAGCCAUUAUAUGUAUUUUUUAACUAAAGCUAUUAUCUGCCUGCUAUCAUUGGUUUUGGGUCUAUCCACAGUUUGCUACCAUCACUCUGGAUUUGUGCAUGCACUCCUUACAUAAUCUCACUAUGUUUUAUUCCUAUGCAUGCCAGUUAUUGUACACAAUGGAACUGAUCAUGUAGAGCAAAAGAGACGAGCCUUGCGUGGCAAUAAAAUUUCAUGCAGACGUCGUUCCAUGGUGGGCGCAAAGGCAGCCCCCCCUCCACCCAUUUCGGAUCGUAAUCAAGAGGAAGAUAACUGUUCUGAGGGGGAUUCAGAAGGAGAAGACCGCUCCUAUUUACCCCAUGAGGUCUUCGCUCUAACUUGGCAUGCUGAUGUUGGUAAUAUCAUGCAUAUGGUGCCUUGCAUUGCUUACUGUAUACAUUAAAGAUGUCAUCUGCUUAGUUUAGACAUGCUUUGUGUCAAUGCCAUCUGUUUAGUUUCUUUAUCGUAUAUGUGAAUCAUGCAAUGCCAUCUUGUCUAGCCAGGCUGUUGGAAAUAUGCCCUAGAGGCAAUAAUAAAUGGUUAUUAUUAUAUUUCUUUGUUCAUGGUAAUUGUCUAUUAUUCAUGCUAUAAUUGUAUUGUCCGGAAAUCGUGAUACAUGUGUGAAUACAUAGACCACAACCUGUCCCUAGUAAGCCUCUAGUUGACUAGCUCGUUGAUCAACAGAUAGUCAUGGUUUCCUGACUAUGGACAUUGGAUGUCAUUGAUAACGGGAUCACAUCAUUAGGAGAAUGAUGUGAUGGACAAGACCCAAUCCUAAGCAUAGCAUAAAAGAUCGUGUAGUUUCGUUUGCUAGAGCUUUUCCAAUGUCAAGUAUCUUUUCCUUGGACCAUGAGAUCGUGCAACUCCCGGAUACCGUAGGAGUGCUUUGGGUGUGCCAAACGUCACAACGUAACUGGGUGACUAUAAAGGUGCACUACGGGUAUCUCCGAAAGUGUCUGUUGGGUUGGCACGGAUCGAGACUGGGAUUUGUCACUCCGUGUGACGGAGAGGUAUCUCUGGGCCCACUCGGUAAUGCAUCAUCAUAAUGAGCUCAAUGUGACUAAGGCGUUAGUCACGGGAUCAUGCAUUGCGGUACGAGUAAAGAGAGUUGCCGGUAACGAGAUUGAACAAGGUAUUGGGAUACCGACGAUCGAAUCUCGGGCAAGUAACAUACCGAUUGACAAAGGGAAUUGCAUACGGAUUGAUUGAAUCCUCGACACCGUGGUUCAUCCGAUGAUAUCAUCGUGGAACAUGUGGGAGCCAACAUGGGUAUCCAGAUCCCGCUGUUGGUUAUUGACCGGAGAGGCGUCUCGGUCAUGUCUGCAUGUCUCCCGAACCCAUAGGGUCUACACACUUAAGGUCCGGUGACGCUAGGGUUGUAGAGAUAUAUGUAUGCGGAAACCCGAAAGUUGUUCGGAGUCCCGGAUGAGAUCCCGGACGUCACGAGAGGUUCCGGAAUGGUCCGGAGGUAAAGAUUUAUAUAUGGGAAGUCUUAUUUUGGUCGCCGGAAAAGUUUCGCGCUUUAUCGGUAUUGUACCGGGAGUGCCGAAAGGGGUCCGGGGGUCCACCAAGGGGGGCACCAGCCCCAAGAGGCCCAUGCGCAAGAGAUAAGAAAGAAGGGAGAGUCCUAAAAGGGGAAGGCACCUCCGAGGUGCCUUGGGGGGGAAGGACUCCCCCCUGGCCGCACCCUUCCUUGAAGGAAGGGGCAAGGCUGCGCCCCCCCCCCCUCUCCCUUGGCCCUAUAUAUAGUGGGGGGAAGGGAGGGCAGCACUAUCUAAGCCUUGGGCGCCUCCCUCCUCCCCUGCAACACCUCUCUCUCUCUCGCAGAAGCUCGGCGAAGCCCUGCCGGAGACCCGCUACAUCCACCACCACGCCGUCGUGCUGUUGGAUCUCCAUCAACCUCUCCUUCCCCCUUGCUGGAUCAAGAAGGAGGAGACGUCGCUGCACCGUACGUGUGUUGAACGCGGAGGUGCCGUCCGUUCGGCACUCGGUCAUCGGUGAUUUGGAUCACGGCGAGUACGACUCCGUCAUCCACGUUCAUUGGAACGCUUCCGCUCGCGAUCUACAAGGGUAUGUAGAUCCACUCCUUUCCCCUCGUUGCUAGUAGACUCCAUAGAUGCAUCUUGGUGAGCGUAGGAAAAUUUUAAAUUAUGCUACGAUUCCCAACACAGGCAUCAUAUAUGUGAAUUUUGCAAUGCCACCCUGGUUAGCCAGUCAUCUUAUAUGUGAAUGAUAUCAUGCCAUCAUUUUUUUAUUACGUGUUAAAUUUGUCAAAAAAUUUAGUACAUUCAAUUACUCUUCCUGUGCAUCAGCCAUUCGGCACGGUCAUGGAAAAAUAUGGAGUGGAAACAAGGUCUUCAGAGCAGACAAUGUUAUCUGACGAAGCGCAUGUCUUGCUGGUUACCGAUAGCUCCUCAGAGGAGGAUUCAGAGACAGAUGACCAGUCAUAUUCCCCCCCCCCCCCAAGGUGCAUGCCCUAACUUGGCAGGGUUAUGUUGCUCAUAUCGUGCGUAUGGUAUCUUGCAUUGCUAUGUCAUUUGCUUAGUUUAGACAUGCUUUGUGUGAAUGCCACCUGCUUAGUGUCUAAUUACCAUAUAUGUGAAUUAUGCAAUGCCAUCUUGUUGCAAGACAUUAUAUAUGUGAAUUAUGCAAUGUUAUCUUGUUGCAAGGCAUUAUGUAUGUGAAUUAUGCAAUGCCAUGCUGUUUAGGCAAGCGUCAUAUAUGUGAAUUAUAUCAUGCCAUCCUUUUUUUGUAUUUCUCAUUGCUUUUGUCGACAAUGUUUGUAUAUUCAACUGCUCUUCCUGUGCAUCAGCCAUUUGAAUUGGUGAUGGAGAAAUCUGGAGUGAAAACAAGGUCUUCAGAGCAGACAAUGCUACCUGCUGAAGCAGAUAUCUUGCUGGUUACAGUGUAACAUCCCAAAAUUCUAAAUUUUGGAAUGUUAUAUUAAAUAAAUAUUUAUUCUUGUUUGUUUGAUUGUGGUGUGGUUGCUUGAGUGAAAUUGAGUGAAAUUUGAUUUUUUUUCUUUUAAAGUUGAAUCAGAGGGAAUGAAAUGACUUUCCGAAAACUUUCACUUUGCAUUUUGAUCCCCAUGGAUUCAAAUUCAUUUCAUCACAAAACCCUAGAGUGAAGAUGAUAUGACUUCUUCCAUUUAAAUAAAUGAAAAGCGUUUUGAAAAGAUUUGAAUUCCAUCCGAAAAUAUUUCAAAUUCGAAACUUUAUGCAACUCAAUGAUUUUCAUGAGAGAAGAUAAAAUGACUUCUUCAAUUAUAUGAAAUAUGAGUUGGAAGUUACAAAGAAUCCAAUUUAAAGUCAUUUGGAAGUAUUUUGAAACUCCCUUCCAAUUUGGAAUUAUUUGGAUUUUUAUUUAAAUUAUUAUUUUUCUCUCCUAAAAACAAAUAAAUGGAAAUAAGGGUAAAAUGAUUCCCUUCAAUGGAAGAUUAGGAGAAAAUAAAUUUGAAAUCAUUUUGGUAUUUUAAAAAAUGAUUUUUGUUGGGUUUUAAUGCAACAGUAGCACUACUUGCUUUAUUUCAAUUUUUGUAGAUUUUAUUUGCCUCUGAAACUGUGUUCAUGUUUUAGAAAAAAAAUCUGAAACUUUCGAUAUAUAAUAUGCCUAUAUAAUAGUUUUUUUAUUGCUCUUUAUUUCAGUUUUCCUUUUCUAUGUUAAAAAAAUCUGGCCGAAGCCCAGCCGCACCAGGCCCAGCCUCCUCCACAACCCAACAUGGUCAUCUUCCUCCUACUAACCUUCAGAAGCAGAACGCAUGCACGCACCCCACGUCGCGCCCCACCCCCUUCCCUCCUUCCCCUUCACCAAGAAUCCUCUGAAUGGAUCCACCUCCUUCCCCUACACCUCCUUCCCCUACACCUCCUUCUCCAAGUAAAAGGCCAUUAAUGCCCCAGAUUUUCUCGCCGGAGAUCCGCACUUGCCUUUUUUUUUGCUUGCCAUGGCUGCACGCAUUUGGACACCCCCUAGCCCUAUAAAUACCUCCCUCGUGUUGCGCUCUUUUCCCUCGCCCAAAGCCCUCUCCUAUGGGAGCUUAUUCCCCUCCCUAUCCCGCAUAAUUACUCAUCGGAGUUCAUAAACUCCGGCGGCUUCUCCAUCGCCGCUCGAGGCUCGGUUGGUACUUCCUCGGCCUCCCCUGAGGUUGCUGAGAUCUCCUUUGCACCGUUCCGUUCUCUCCUUCCUCUAGGAGCCCCACAACCUCGGAUCCAAUCUUCUUCCCCAACUCCGGUGAGAUCAAAGAAAUCCCGUAAUUCUUCUUUUCAGAAAAGUAGCGAUUUUAGAAAAUUCAUAUCUAUUAGUAUACAUAUCCAAAUUGAGUGAUUCCAAUUGCGUUAGAUCACAAAUUUUGUAAAGUUUCUGAAUAGGUAAAUAGUUUUUAGGUUUGACUAGUUAAAUUUGAACUUGAUAAAAUUCUCUUAAAUCCUUGUAUUUGAUCUAACUUGAGUUUAGAAAUAGAUUUUUGAUUGAUUCUUUUUGCUACUGCUUUGUUAUUGUUUUGUUUAUCCAGUAGCAUAUAGUUAUUUAUUUUUAGUUUAUUUUAAGUUAGGUUUGUUGCACAAACAGUACUGUUUUGCUUAUGUAGUUGUUUUAGUCAUAUAAUUAGUGUUUUAAUUAUUUUUAGUUAAUUCUUUUUGUAGAUUUUUACAUGUUGUCAUAUGUUUCUGUUAGACUAUAGUAGAUAAAUUUUUGUAGUUAUUUAUUAGUGUUUAGCUACUGUUUUAGUAUUUGUUUGUUUAGUUCAUAGUGAUAGUUGAUAAAAAUAGUUUUAUUAGUUUUAAUGCAUCUCUUUUUGCCACUUCAAUAUAUGUUGUUAUUGGUUCUGUUAUUAGGAGUAAAUAAGUUUUCAUAAAUUAUUUUAGUAUUGUUUACUAUUGUCUUAGUGUUUUCUAGUUGUUAUAGUUGUUCUAGUGUUAACUAGAUAGUUAUAAUAGUUUUUAUUAUACUAGUUCUUUUUGCUAGUAAAUGCUUUAGUAAAUUGUUUUCUGUUGUUUCAUUAGAAUUAUAUUUUCUUUGUCGUAGAAAAAAUUAUUAGAGUAAUUUGGUGUUGCUACGAGAGUAUUGUCUGUUAUUGUGUGAGUUGGUUUCUCCCUUGUUUUCGUGAAGUUUUCUUUGUAAUUCUAUUUGGUUUUCUUUGACUUCAUUAUUGUUUUAUUUAUGACUUUUUGAUUGUUAUUUUGAUUGCUAGUAUUGUUUGCUAGAAUUAUUGCUUAUGUGAGUAUAAUGUUUGACUAUAUAGAUUUUCUCGGAGUGACGAAUAGUUUAUCAAAGAUUCUGAGAGCGUUACUAUCUUCAUCAAGUAAUACCAGACAAGUUCACCUUGACCAUGUUUUUCAUACCUAUGUCUUAUUUGCAUGUAGUAGCACCCUUUCAACAAUCCCUCCAGUAGUGUUAUUGAACCUUUAGUUGAGUAGAUUGCAUGAGUUAGAAACCCAUCUCCCUGUUAUCAAGCCCGGGACGUUAUGUAGUUUAAAUGCUAUGCUAUAGUGGACGGGGUUGGUAUGAAUGAUCGGGAGUGGUGUGAGAAUGGAGGACUCUACGUCAAUGAAAACAAAUUCAUGAUGGCAUCGGCAAGGACUGCAUCUUCAGGACUUCAAGACUUCAAGAUUUCGAGACUCGAGACAAGAAUUCAAUACACACUACUGGGUGAAGGACGGUUGACGGGCACCCUGGAGGAACCAGUGGAUGGACGGGAUGCAUGGAGAAGCGCCAUGACAUCUUGCGGAAAGCUUCACCCAGACUCAAAGAGACGGAAGAAUACUUCAUGCGCGGAAGCUUACCUGUGCAACCGCAAGUCACUAUGGGCUCUGGCUUGGUUGACCCUAUUGGUGACUCUGGCUGGGACGGUGCUAGCAGAUGUAGAACUACGGUAGGAUUGGAUGAGCACCGGAAAGUGGUCAGGGGAACUCUUCGGAAGACCAUGUUUCGGUCAUCUUGUUCUCAAACAACCUGAUGUGCGAGAACGUAAAAAGAGGGAUCGAAUCUUGAGGGUAAAGUGUACAAACCUAUGCAGAGGGUUAAAACCUAAUCAAUUAGCCGUUUCCUCGGUUACGGACAACUUGAGCCUCUGGACUUGGAUCUAUCUCGGAACUCUCAACACCGGACUGAUAACAUAAUUGUGGGCAACUUAUGAUGAUUUGGGUAUGAGACAUCGGUUGGCGGAACCAUGUCAUGAUAGAAAACUCCGUAGUACAGACUCCUGAUAUUCCUUUGUUGUAGAGAAAAUAAAACUAGCUUUUACGCGAAAACAUCAGACACAGAGCCACAAAGCCAUAUUGCAUAUAGAAUCGUAUUAUCAUCUGCUUUCUCAUGUUGUGAUCUUGCCGGUACAUUCAAUGUACUGACCUACACAGCCACAACGUCUCAUGUUGCAGAUAUGUUCCUUUCGACGAGUAAGAGUACGGUACAGGGUUACGGUAUACACUCAACCUGCCGAUGGCGUUGAUGGGACUCCACACCCGAUUGUUUGUUUCCGCUGAGACUUAUGAGGUAUAUACCAGUUUUACAUUAUUUAUACAUGUGAUUGCACUUUGAUAUAUACAUUGAUGUACUGUGUGUGCCAGCAUACCGAUCCAGGGAUGGCACAGAUACACAGAGGCUUGACCGCCUGAGGUCGGGUCGCUACAGAUAUGGUAUCAGAGCACAUGUUGACUGUAGAACAUGACCCUAGAAACUGGAAAUUCCUAGGACAGGAAGUCUCUAAAACUUUAUUUUCAAAAAUACCCUUACUUCUAAUAUUUUCAUGAUUUUAUCAAAUAGUCCCUCUUAUCUCAAAUAGUUAAAAUAUACCCUUUUCCCUUUUGACCACACGGAGGAUCAACUGAAGCCGCUCCAAGAAGGACAAGAUAUCGGACAAUCGAUGACCUCUUCAGAGUAAAGAGGAUUUCACCAUGCAUUAGAAGAGUUGAAGCUACAACAGUUGAAGACUCCGAAGACUUGAAGAAUCUGAAGAAUUAUUUGACCUUUAGAAGACCAAACCCCUGUUAUAUACUUACGUUCAAUGCGACGAUUUGUGAGCUGUCAUUUGUGUGAUGUUUUUCGACAGCCACAAAUAAAUCCCGUUUUCACAAUUAUUGUUUGUAUUGUGUGUAUCUCUCUCUAUCUCCCGUAUCUCAUCCCAAAACCCUUGGAACCAAUAGAUGAUGAAUGAAGAAGGACUGGUAUUCUCUGGACCGAUGACUCAACCAGAGGUAGAACUAUGGAUUCAGAAUAUGGAGGAUCACUUCAGGAACAACUUGAUUGGAAGCAAGUAUGAGGUUCAAUGCUCUUCGGUACUUUACAAAAAGUGUUGCAACCUGGUGGAAAAUGCAUCAAGCCAUACAAGGAUGCAACGGAGCAAGAACUUGGGAGGAAUUCAAAAAGACUCUGAUGAGAUCACGUCUCAUCCAGAAGCACCGUCAUAACCCGAUGAAGCAAACUUGUGCAUGCAAGAUAUGUGGAGAAAUAGGACACACCCAGGAGGAACACAAGGAUGUAUGCCCUCAUUGUGAGGAGAAUCACCCAGCCGAAGAGUGCCCGACUGGGCAAGUUACUUGUUUUCUGUGUGAAGGGACUACACACUACCCUGGUCAGUGUCACAUUUACCCCAAGGUACAAGAAAUUACCAAGCAGCAGAAAGAAGCCAUGAAAAAAAACUCAGGGAAAAUUCAGAAGAAUCUGCGAUGAAGGAAGUUAUUGAAGACCCUGAUGGUGAAGGCCUAAACAGGUUUUUCGCCCAAGCCUGCUAUUCUUGUGGAGAAGAAGGACAUUUUUCAAACUAUUGCAUGAAGGAAAGCCAAGAGUAUCUCAGAGACUUCCCGACAGCAGAAGUGAAGUUUGACCCUCAGGAAAUAGAAGCUCCGAUCAUUACAGAGAAAUUCAGGAAGAGAAAACGAAGGCAUUCCCAGAACAACCCAAGUUCUGCAGAGAAGGACCUGAGUCAUAUCACUUGUUACAGGUGCAAGGAUUUAGGUCAUUAUGCUAGUAAAUGUCCAGAAAAGAAGCCUAGAAUCCAAGGAGCCUACAUAAUCACAAAGAAGCCCCGAGACAUCUCAGAAGUCAUUUGCUUUUGCUGCAAGGAAGCGGGACAUUUUGCUCGGGAAUGUUCAGAUCAGAAGAAAGCUGGAGCUGAGUAGUUGAGAUUUGGAUAUGGAUAAUAAGAGUGCUAGAAAGCAUUUUUUCAUGAGUACAAUAAGUUGAGUUAUGUAAUGGGUUCUCAGAGUUUGUAAUGGAUUCAUGAAAUCAAUAAAGUUAAGGUGACAUGUUUUCAUAUGUUGAAUUGUAUGAGUUGUUACUCUAUGAACGCAGAUUUGGACCAUUUUCGAGGAUAUGAGAAAUAUGGUAUAUGGAUGAAAUUGUGCAUUUUAUUUUAAGGGUGGUAGUACCCGGUGAGGACACUUGACCCAUGGAAAGGAUAAUGAUAUUUCACGGAGUGGAGUUUGGACCAAAUAAACUGGAAUUUUGUUUUGAUAUGAAGGGUACCCCAAGAGUACGAAGGAAUGUAGUAAUAUUGGAUUUAAAGGGGGUAUAGUGUUGGAAUAUGGAACCAUAUAACCCAAAAGGAUGAGUUAAAGCUAUGCAAGUAUUGCAGUGGGUCCAUAACCCACAAGCCCAGGAUUUGUAAGUGAACAGACGUAACCUUGAUGAAGGAAGAAAAUUUGGAAGAAGUUGUGCUUUCAUCGGCAGACGUUCCUUAGGAGGAUACGGAAACCCGAGAGUGGUGAAGUAACGAUAGAUGUUUUAUUCAGCUUGCAGAAUCAAUGGAAUUAUCCGAACUAAGUUCGUCGACAAGAGAAAUUCUGCAAUGCUUGUGAGAAUUCCCGAGUGUUAGAAAUGCGAGAUUCGCUAAACCUUAUACAGAGUAAUGAUUUGGGUGCGGAAUGGAUUGAUCACCAUACCGACUUACUCUCGUCAUUCGCUCUUGCUAUUCGGGAUGGCAAAUCUAGAGCGACUUACCCUUGGUAGAGUGACGACGACGUCAAAACCUUCUUUAAACCAUAGAAUGGUAGGACGAUUGAUCCAUGUACAGGCAACCGCUGCCAAACGUAGGUUAUACGGUGAGAUUCAGCCCAGACCCAUUUCCUGCAGGACAAACCAUAAAUUAUUGACCACCAGGAGGUUUCGAUAGUUGUUUAGUAUUGGCGAUAGACCUGUCAGAUAUGAAGACCCAGUCUCGGAAGAACCUCGCGAGGAUGAAAGGACACGUGUUUGAGGAAAAGGUUAUGCACCUACCUGAAGAGCAUCAGUGAAGAAGGUAUUCCAGAGGAUAUGAGAAGACCGACACCGUCAACCCAAAGGAAGGGAGUACAUGAGUCUUGGUCGGGACCAUAACCCUAAUUUUAAGUGUGGUAGCACACUAGAAUUUUUCGAUCAAUGGAUUUGCUGGAUGACCUCCAAACCCUAACCUUUUCUUGCUAGCCUCUGCGAAUCUCGAGGAUGAGAUUCAUUUCAAGUGUGGUAGGUUUGUAACAUCCCAAAAUUCUAAAUUUUGGAAUGUUAUAUUAAAUAAAUAUUUAUGCUUGUUUGUUUAAUUGUGGUGUGGUUGCUUGAGUGAAAUUGAGUGAAAUUUGAUAUAUAUUUUUUUGAAAGUUGAAUCAGAGGGAAUGAAAUGACUUUCCGAAAACUUUCACUUUGCAUUUUGAUCCCCAUCAAUUCAAAUUCAUUUCAUCACAAAACCCUAGAGUGAAGAUGAUAUGGCUUCUUCCAUUUAAAUAAAUGAAAAGCGUUUUGAAAAGAUUUGAAUUCCAUCCGAAAAUAUUUCAAAUUCGAAACUUUAUGCAACUCAAUGAUUUUCAUGAGAGAAGAUAAAAUGACUUCUUCAAUUAUAUGAAAUAUGAGGUGGAAUUUGCAAAGAAUCCAAUUUAAAGUCAUUUGGAAGUAUUUUGAAACUCCCUUCCAAUUUGGAAUUAUUUGGAUUUUUAUUUAAAUUAUUAUUUUUCUCUCCUAAAAACAAAUAAAUGGAAAUAAGGGUAAAAUGAUUCCCUUCAAUGGAAGAUUAGGAGAAAAUAAAUUUGAAAUCAUUUUGGUAUUUUAAAAAAUGAUUUUUGUUGGGUUUUAAUGCAACAGUAGCACUAUUUGCUUUAUUUGAAUUUUUGUAGAUUUUAUUUGCCUCUGAAACUGUGUUCAUGUUUUAGAAAAAAAAUCUGAAACUUUCGAUAUAUAAUAUGCCUAUCUAAUAGUUUUUUUAUUGCUCUUUAUUUCAGUUUUCCUUGUCUAUGUUAAAAAAAAUCUGGCCGAAGCCCAGCCGCACCAGGCCCAGCCUCCUCCACAACCCAACAUGGUCAUCUUCCUCCUACUAACCUUCAGAAGCAGAACGCAUGCACGCACCCCAUGUCGCGCCCCACCCCCUUCCCUCCUUCCCCUUCACCAAGAAUCCUCUGAAUGGAUCCACCUCCUUCCCCUACACCUCCUUCUCCAAGUAAAAGGCCAUUAAUGCCCCAGAUUUUCUCGCCGGAGAUCCGCACUUGCCUUUUUUUUUUGCUCGUCAUGGCUGCACGCAUUUGGACACCCCCUCGCCCUAUAAAUACCUCCCUCGUGUUGCCCUCUUUUCCAUCGCCCAAAGCCCUCUCCUAUGGGAGCUUAUCCCCCUCCCUAUCCCGCAUAAUUACUCAUCGGAGUUCAUAAACUCCGGCGGCUUCUCCAUCGCCGCCCGAGGCUCGGUUGGUACUUCCUCGGCCUCCCUUGACGUUGCUGAGAUCUCCUUUGCACCGUUCCGUUCUCUCCUUCCUCUAGGAGCCCCCACAACCUCGGAUCCGAUCUUCUUCCCCAACUCCGGCGACUACUCCGGUGAGAUCAAAGAAAUCCCGUAAUUCUUCUUUUCAGAAAAGUAGCGAUCUUAGAAAAUUCAUAUCUAUUAGUAUACAUAUCCAAAUUGAGUGAUUCCAAUUGCGUUAGAUCACAAAUUUUGUAAAGUUUCUGAAUAGGUAAAUAGUUUUUAGGUUUGACUAUUUAAAUUUGAACUUGAUCAAAUUCUCUUAAAUCCUUGUAUUUGAUCUAACUUGAGUUUAGAAAUAGAUUUUUGAUUGAUUCUUUUUGCUACUGCUUUGUUAUUGUUUUGUUUAUCCAGUAGCAUAUAGUUAUUUAUUUUUAGUUUAUUUUAAGUUAGGUUUGUUGCAAAAACAGUACUGUUUUGCUUAUGUAGUUGUUUUAGUCAUAUAAUUAGUGUUUUUAAUUAUUUUUAGUUAAUUCUUUUUGUAGAUUUUUACAUGUUGUCAUAUGUUUCUGUUAGACUACAGUAGAUAAAUUUUUGUAGUUAUUUAUUAGUGUUUAGCUACUGUUUUAGUAUUUGUUUGUUUAGUUCAUAGUGAUAGUUGAUAAAAAUUGUUUUAUUAGUUUUAAUGCAUCUCUUUUUGCCGCUUUAAUAUAUGUUGUUAUUGGUUCUGUUAUUAGGAGUAAAUAAGUUUUCAUAAAUUAUUUUAGUAUUGUUUACUAUUGUCUUAGUGUUUUCUAGUUGUUAUAGUUGUUCUAGUGUUAACUAGAUAGUUAUAAUAGUUUUUAUUAUACUAGUUCUUUUUGCUAGUAAAUGCUUUAGUAAAUUGUUUUCUGUUGUUUCAUUAGAAUUAUAUUUUCUUUGUUGUAGAAAAAAUUAUUAGAGUAAUUUGGUGUUGCUAUGAGAGUAUUGUCUGUUAUUGUGUGAGUUGGUUUCUCCCUUGUUUUCGUGAAGUUUUCUUUGUAAUUCUAUUUGGUUUUCUUUGACUUCAUUAUUGUUUUAUUUAUGACUUUUUGAUUGUUAUUUUGAUUGCUAGUAUUGUUUGCUAGAAUUAUUGCUUAUGUGAGUAUAAUGUUUGACUAUAUAGAUUUUCUCGGAGUGACGAAUAGUUUAUCAAAGAUUCUGAGAGCGUUAUUAUCUUCAUCAAGUAAUACCAGGCAAGUUCACCUUGACCAUGUUUUUCAUACCUAUGCCUUAUUUGCAUGUAGUAGCACCCUUUCAACAAUCCCUCCAGUAGUGUUAUUGAACCUUUAGUUGAGUAGAUUGCAUGAGGUAGAAACCCAUCUCCCUGUUAUCAAGCCCAGGGCGUUAUGUAGUUUAAAUGCUACGCUAUAGUGGACGGGGUUGGUAUGAAUGAUCGGGAGUGGUGUGAGAAUGGAGGACUCUACGUCAAUAAAGACAAAUUCAUGAUGGCAUCGGCAAGGACUGCAUCUUCAGGACUUCAAGACUUCAAGAUUUCGAGACUCGAGACAAGAAUUCAAUACACACUACUGGGUGAAGGACGGUUGACGGGCACCCUGGAGGAACCAGUGGAUGGCCGGGAUGCAUGGAGAAGCGCCAUGACAUCUUGCGGAAAGCUUCACCCAGACUCAAAGAGACGGAAGAAUACUUCAUGCCCGGAAGCUUACCUGUGCAACCGCAAGUCACUAUGGGCUCUGGCUUGGUUGACCCUAGUGGUGACUCUGGCUGGGACGGUGCUAGCAGAUGUAGAACUACGGUAGGAUUGGAUGAGCACCGGACAGUGGUCAGGGGAACUCUUCGGAAGACCAUGUUUCGGUCGUCUUGUUCUCAAACAACCUGAAGUGCGAGAACGUAAAAAGAGGGAUCGAAUCUUUUGGGUAAAGUGUAAAAACCUCUGCAGAGGGUUAAAACCUAAUCGAUUAGCCAUGUCCUCGGUUACGGACAACUUGAGCCUCUGGACUUGGAUCUAUCUCGGAACUCUCAACACCGGACUGAUAACAUAAUUGUGGGCAACUUAUGAUGAUUUGGGUAUGAGACAUCGGUUGGCGGAACCAUGUCAUGAUAGAAAUCUCCGUAGUACAGACUCCUGAUAUUCCUUUGUUGUAGAGAAAAUAAAACCAGCUUUUACGCAAAAACAUCAGACACAGAGCCACAAAGCCAUAUUGCAUAUAGAAUCGUAUUAUCAUCUGCUUUCUCAUGUUGUGAUCUUGCCGGUACAUUCAAUGUACUGACCUACACGGCUGCAACGUCUCAUGUUGCAGAUAUGUUCCUUCCGACGAGUAAGUGUACGGUACAGGGUUACGGUAUAUACUCAACCUGCCGAUGGUGUUUAUGGGACUCCACACCCGAUUGUUUGUUUCCGCUGAGACUUAUGAGGUAUAUACUAGUUUUACGUUAUUUAUACAUGUGAUUGCACUUUAAUAUAUACAUUGAUGUACUGUGUGUGUCAACAUACCGAUCCAGGGAUGGCACAGAUAUACAGAGGCUUGACCGUCUGAGGUCGGGUCGCUACAUACAGAUAGCUCUUCAGAGAAGGAUUCAGAGGCAGAUGACCAGUGCUAUUAUCCCCCGGAGGUGUAUGCUCAAACUUGGCAGGGUUAUAUUACUCAUAUAAUGCAUAUGUUGUAUUGCAAUGCUUAGUUUUUACAUCAUAUACACAAUAUUGAAUGCCAUCUCCUUAGUUGACACAUCAUAUAUGCGAUUGCCCUCUGCUCACUUCCUUAGUAUAUAAAUCAUAUAUUUGAAUUAUGUCAUGCCAUGAUGUUUACAUAGACAGCAUGUAUCUGAAUUAUGGCAUGCCAACCCAUUUUCUGAAGACAUAAUAUAGUUGUAUCACCUCAUCCUGUUCACAUAGUCAUCAUAUUUUGAAUUAUGUCAUUCUAUCCGUGAAUUAUAUCAUGCCAUCAUGUUUCCAUCGACGGCAUGUUUGUGAUUUAUGGCAUGCCAACCACUUUAAUAGACACAUCGUAUAGUUAUAUCAUGUCAUCCUGUUUACAUAGUCAUCAUAUUUUGAAGUAUGUCAUUCUAUCCUGUUUAGUUAGCCAUCAUACAUGUGAAAUUGUGUCAUGCUAUCCUGUUUAAUUAGCCAUCAUAUAUGUGAAAUUAUGUCCUGCUAUUCUGUUUGCUUAGACAACAUAAAUGUGAAUUAUUUCAUGCCCUGUUUUCUUCCCUACUAUCCAUUGCACCUGUCUAUCUUACAAUGUCCGUACAUUCAAUUACUUUUCUUGUUUAUCAGCCAUUUCAAUUAGAGGGAGUGAUGGCAGUAUCUGUGGGAGUAAAAACAUGGUCUUCAGAAAAGAUCGUGCUACCUGUCGAUGGAGAUAGAACAACGGUUGUACUUGCCCAAGAACCAGCCCCACCACACAUAACCCAGACUCACGCAGAUUAUACCCCUACCCAGUUGGACAAAGAACCAGCUACACCCCUUCUAACCCCAACCCCAGCAGAUAGUAACCCAGUUCCCGUUGACACAACACCGUCUCCACCACAGAGCACCCAAACACGAGCAGUUAGUAAGGCAACUGCAGUGCCCAAAGCACGAGGACCACCACUCCGAACCCCAAGUCAAUGCUUAAAGCAGAAGAAGAAUUGUUCUCAGGUCAGGUUCCGUAGCUAUGGUUCAUACUACUUUUCUCUUGCAUCACUGUAUUUACUGAUACCAACUAAUUUCAAAUUUGAAGGAUGCAAUUGAAACUCCAAUGGCGCAACAGGUAUGUUUUAAACCUGUUUCUUCAACGUGUUUGGCUGUUUGCUGUUGUAACUUGCUCUAUGUUGAUUUCAGUUUCAAUUGAAUAAACAGUUAUGUUCUCAUGCCAUGCACAUUACAAGUGUUGUUAUUGCUGUGUAGUUUCCCACACUUAUAUUCUGUCUAUGCUGCUUUGUCUUAAAUAGAUAUGAUUCGAACUGUAUCUAUCUUGAUUUGGCAACAUAAACUAGAAUGAUAUAGACCAUACAGUGACCAUACUACAUAGAUAUAUGUUUGUUUCAUGUUGUUAUCCUGUCCACCUUACUACUGAACUAGUUUACCAAAAUGAGUUUCAUAUACUACAUUGUAAACCUGAGAUGUGUUUGUUUGUUUCUCUUUUAGAACGCGGAUAAAAUAUUGGAGAAGAGUACCCUGUUAUGCAAUGGUAAAGGAAGUAAUGCAGAUAAGGUUCAAGAUAGGGAGACAUUCCUGUUGGUCUCCAAGAAAGCUGAUAAAAACUAUAUUGAAGACAUUGAGACAACCCCAAAGUCCUGUCUUGAUGUAGUGUUUGAGUUACUGGCUACCACUGCUGGCACCAGCUCUUCGAACUCGUUGCAUGAACCAGUUCGGCUUCUUGAGUCUCAACUUCAAGUUGAAAGACAUCGAUCAGAUGUUAUGCGACAGGAAGCCGAAGGACUGAGGAAGUCCCUGUAGAAUUCAGAUGCAUACUUUCUGGUGCAACAGCAAGCGCUGGAGGACUUAAGCGCCAAACAAGAGAAAGUUAAUAAGCUUGCUAAGCAUCUUGCCAGCAUUAUGGGUACCCAGGAUAUUGUUUCUUGAGCUCUUCUGAAGUGGUUUCAGUUCUGGACUUGUUUUGCUGCGGCGUUUAUAUGCUGCUGUGUUCCCUAUAUUUGCACUGGUGGCGAACUUUGAUGCCCAGUGGAUGUAAUAUGUGUAAUAGCCGUGAUAGCCUAGUGUAAGUUGCUUGCUUAUUUAUUUCCUUGUUGUCUUGUUUAUUUGUUUGCUUGUAGUCAGUGCAGUUCUUUUUCUGCGGUUUGCUAGUGGCUGCAAUAACCUAUUUUUUAAAACUAGGCCACAAUAACCAUGGGCUAAUAUUUACUGUAGUGACAUUGGGCCUCCUACGGGCCGUAGAAACAGUGGGCCUUCUACGGGCCGUAGAAACAGUGGGCCUUCUACGGGCCGUAGAAACAGUGGGCCUUCUGCGGGCCGUAGAAAUAGUGGGCCUUCUACGGGCCAUAUCAUCAAUGGGCCUUAUACGGGCCGUAUGAUCGAUUGGCCAAACAGACCGCAUUCUGGCCGUAAACGGGCUAGAGUUGGAAUCGUCCGUUCAUGGGCCGACCAUAACGGGCCAUCGUUAAUAGGCCGUAUUUGAUGACGCUAUGAAAACGGCCCAACGUAUUAACGGACCACAAACGGGCCGACAGUAACCACGGGCUGAAUUUGGCCCACAAGCAGAAAAUGACAGUAACGGGCCGUAAGUAAAUGAAUGCUGGAAAAUAGCCCAAGAAUAAAUGGGCUCUGAGAAGGCCGAAAGAUAACAUUGGCUGGAAACGGCCCAACGGAAUAACGGGCCGUUAAUGGGUAUAAAGUGAUACAUUGUUCUUUGCGGGCCAGUUUCACCACGGGCCGUUAAUGGGUGUAAAGUGAUACACUGUUCAUUACGGGCCAGUUUCACCACGGGCCGUUAAUAGGCCAAGAGUUACAUAGGGCCUCAUAUGGGCCGAAAGACGUCAUGGGCCAUACAUGGGCCAGAAGUGAAAACGGGCUGGAAUCAUAUUGGAUGGCCCAGAUGACGCUACUAGGCCUAAUUCGAAUAGGGCGUAACGGGCCUUGGGUUAGCGGGCUGUAAAUGGGCUAUAUGCGAACAGGCCGUUAACAGGCUUUCCAUGGGCCGGCCCGCCACCUUUUGACCAAGUCAAAUAGGCCGGCCUUUUCACAGGAAUGGGCCUCUCUUGGGCCGUGCCACGUGUCGAUGUAUCAUAGGCGCCUUCUGUCCAAUGAGUGGAUGACAUCUGUCCGAGCGAUGAGCCGACACGUGUUUCCUCUAGCCAAUGAUGAUUUUACACGUGGAAAAUCCCCAUUGGUCGGGGCUGUUAACGGGUUAUCGGAUCCAAAACCCGACCCGAUAGCUUAACGGCAUUCCGUUACGGUGGAUGCCACGUGUCGGUCACCCUUGACGAAAGCACUUAUGUGACGCGCGAUUUAUCGUCAUGGAAGUGGACACUUCCGUGAUGAUAAUUUUGGUAAUGUCAUGGAACACUUCUAUGACAACACAGGUAUGACUAUCUUGAUUCUGUCAUAAAUUUGUCAUGGAUGUACAUGCAUAACAAAAAACGCGACCUACUGUGACAAACACGUAUCAUCACGGAAGUGUAUUUUUUUGUAGUGACAGCGGCCUAAACCCGAGUAAAAUCACCAUGUCGUAGAAGCAGGAUUCGUGCGUCUCCUCGUCCCUCAUCGAACCAAAGAAGGGGGCAUCCCUUGCUCUCUAGUGUUGUGUUAGGACACACGACACAUGCAUUGUACUCUAGUGUUUAUGAGCAUAAGAAUGCACAAUGACUAUCGUAUGCUGGCAUCCUGAUUAAUAGAGUCAAUCGACUACUCGUAUCAACAAGCCGUACCUUCUAUUUCAGAAACCCAUCUCCAAAGAAUCACCACGUUAAGUGUGCUUGGACUGGAGAAAUUUGAAGAUGGGUGAACGGCUUAGAUGUUGUUCCCGGGUAGCCGACCCUCACGGUUACACAGGAGUGUGAGGGUAAGGGGCGUGUGCAUAUGGCGCAUGGAGCAUGUAACCCUUCGUGGCACAUGAGAUGACACAUGUGUCGACACUAGAUGCACAGAUGUGUGCCAAGAGUGAGCGUUCUUGUUAGGCCAAUGAAGAUAUCGGUUUCUUUGAGUGAGGUGUACGUGACAUCAUGGUUAAUAGAAUUUAUAGACUACUCAUAUCAACAUGGAGCACUUUAUUUUUCGAAAGUUCAUCAAAGAACCUCCAGAAGAAUGGUUCUCGGGUUCGUGCAAGUAAGCACAAAGUGGGUAGAUUAGGUAUAUUUGACCAAGCUAUAUUCCAGGGGAUAAUCAGUGAUAAUGAAUGGAAAUCGACGAUUGUGGUCGGGGCGUUACAUGUGCCCAAGCAUGGAGUGGCUUACUUAGUAAUCAAAUCAAUUUCUCAACAUACUCCUAAGGCUCAAUUCAUGUGGCUAUCCUAUGUUUGCCAUCGCCAUUUUCAAGUUCAUAAACAUAAGUAAGGUAAGCUAAACAAAUAAUUAAUUAUUGCUACCUCAGUGAGGGGUAGCAACGAAAAUGAAAGAUCAAAAAUCUAUGAAAACACAUGCGACAACCGUAAAUGAUAGAAGCCUUGUUUGCUAUAGUGGUGCAUAAUAUUAAAUUUAGUCAAAUUGUCCCUUACUUUAUUUACUGCCGUGGUUGCUAUUUUUGGUAUAAAACUAUUUCAAUGCUCAUUGUAUUUUAGUUCUUGUUGUAGCUAAAGAUACAAAGAGGUUGCAUUCUGACACAUUUGAGAGUUGGCCAGCUGGAAUGCUAAAAUUUCUACUCCCUAGUUCACUACUUGUAGAUUAACAGUUUACUAUAAAUGAAACUUAGCACAGCACAACUGAAGAACCAUAAACUAAGCCUCCUUUCCAAAACAAGUCUCCUGGUUUUACUUCAAAACCAAAAUCACGAUACUUAUUUUGAAACGGAGGGAGUAAUAGAAAAGCAAAGCUUACAAGUGUGCGGCUCAAAUUGAUUUAGAAUUAGUUUAUUUUAGAAAGAAGGCAAAUUUGUUUUCUCAUGCAAAAAAGGCGAUUGCAUGAGGCCUCAAAACGUGUGGAUGAGACGAAGUGUUCCUGUUGAACCAGAAAACCCGAUGCCAGAAAAGGUAAAAUUGUACUACUCUAGUUCACAGAUCACUCUCCAGCCUCCAAACCCCAUCCCUUCCGUUACCACAAAAAGAAACACCCAGCUAUCACCUUAUUGAUAUCUAUCACCGCAUUCUAUUCCAUCCAUUGUACUAUAUCCAUGGCUCAUGCUCAUGUACUGCGUGAGGUUGAAAAAUUUGAAGCGGUUAAGAAGUAUGAACCAAUUGCUCGGCUUGUCAUCGGGGUAGUUCAUGAUUAAUACUUUGUGUUAGGAAGAACAAGCAUGACAAGAUUAUAUGAUUUUGUAGGGAUGGCGUUCUUUAGCAUUUUUAUUUUGAAAGGCAUGAUUGUUUAUUCGUAUGCUUGAGUAUUGAUGUCUUUAUAUCAAAUUAUAGACUAUUGCUUUGAAUCAUUCAGAUCUAAAUAUUCAUACCGUAAAAGAGAUUACAUGAUACACAUGUUAGGUAGCAUUUCACAUCAAAAAAUUUGUUUUUAUCAUUUACCUACUCUAGGACGAGCAGGAAUUAAGCUUGGGGACGCUGAUACGUCUCCAACGUAUCUAUAAUUUUUUAUUGUUUCAUGGUAUUAUAUUAUCAAUCUUGGAUACUCUAUAUGAAUUUUUGUGCUAUUUAUAUCAUUUGUUGGGACUAACGUAUUAACCCAGUGCCUAGUGCUAGUUGUUGUUUUCUGCUUGUUUUUGGUUUCCAGAAAACUAGACCAAACGGAGUCCUAACACUAUGAAUCUUUCUACGAUUUUUUCUAGACAAGAGAAACCCUAGAAACUUCGGGAAGAGACCAGACGACAAUCGAGGAGACGACAAGGCAACAAGGCGCAUCCUGGGGGGCUGUUGCCUUGUGGGCCCCACGAGGCUCCGUCUGACCUAAUUCCACCUAUAUAAAUUCUCAAAUAUUGGGAAACCAAUGGAGAGCCACCCGAAACCUUUUUUUCACCGCCACAAGUUUUUGUUCUUCCGCGAUCCCAUCUGGAGGCCUUUUUGGUACUCUGUCAGAGGGGGAAUCGAUCACGGAGGGCUUCUACAUCAUCCUUGCUGCCUUCUGCUGAUGCGUGAGUAAUUCACCACAGACAUACGUGCCCAUAGCUAGUAACUAGAAGGCUUUUUCUCUCUCUUUGAUCUUCAAUACAAUGUUCUCCUCUAUGUUCUUGGAGUUAUAUUUGAUGUAAUUUUCUUUUGUAGUGUGUUUGUUGGGAUCCGAUGAAUUGUGAGUUUAUGAUCUGAAUAUUCAUGAGAAGUAAUCGAGUCUUUUCUGAAAUUUAUUAUGCUUGAUUGUUAUAGAUUUGUAUUUCUCUCCAGUCUAUCCGUUUGGUUUGGCCAACUAGAUUGAUUUAUCUUCAGUGGGAGAGGUGCUUUGUGAUGGGUUCAAUCUUGCGGUGCUCUAUAUCCGAGUAACAGAAGGGGACAAGGCACGUAUUUGUAUUGUUGCCAUUAAGGGUAGAACGAUGGGGUUUAUUCAUAUUGAUUGGGUUUACUUUGUCUACAUCAUGUCAUCUUGCUUAAGGCGUUACUCCGUUUUUAAUGAACUUAAUACCAUAGAUGCAUGCUGGAUAGCGGUCGAUUGGUGGAGUAAUAAUAGUAGAUGCAGGCGCGAUUCGGUCUACUUAUCUCGGACGACACACUCCCCAUUAGACUUAACCGGGGAUUACGCGAUGAACGCGGCUUUUUGCCGCCCGUGGUGACUCUCCAGCCUCCAUCCUGCUCGGCCUCGUGCCCGUGCUCUACGAGGUGGACCUUGGAGUGAGGGAUGCGGCGCACAGCUAGCGGCGAGGAGGGGGCGAAGGUGGGGAGGGGCCUUGUAACAUCCCAAAUUUUCAACUUGGAAUGUUAUACAUAGGUCAUUCAUGCAUAUCAUAUUUUAUUGCAUUGCGUUUCGUGAUCCUCGAAAUUCUAAGAAACUCAAGGACCCACGGAGAGAGUUGGGGAUUUCACCGUUUUUAUAUUUGAAUUUUCUCAAAUAUCGAAACAAGGAUCAUUUUGGUUUCAAUUACUGUUCCCUCUGAAAAUAUUUCAUAUUAAAAAAAUAUGAGAGGAGAUAAUAUGACUUCUCCAAAAUAAAUGAAAUAUUGGAGGAAAAAUAUUAAAAUCAAAUAAAUAAUUUUAUUUGGAUUUUAUUGCUAUUUUAUUUGAAUUAGAAAAAUAUGCAUUUUUCAAAAUUCCACUCUUAGGCCAAGAAAAUGUUCACUUUGUUCUAAAUAUUCUAUUUAGACGGUGAAAAUUUGUUUUGGCAUUUUUAGUUUUUUAGUUUACUUUUUUUUGGAUUUUUUCGACGGAAUCUGUUUUUUUUAAUAAUAAUAAGGUCAACGCCCGACUGGGCCAGCGGCCCAGCCAAGCCGGCCCACCUCGCGUCGCCGUCUCCCUCGCGGAGUCCGCGGCGUGCACGCCAGCCCCGCCGUGGCCGAGUCGGCCACGCCGCCGUCGCCCCUCCCCCACGCCACCGUCGCCCCUCCCCCACGCCACCUCUGCCCCUUCCCCUAAUAAAUACCGUCGUCGCCCCCCCCUUGCCCCACACCGCCGCCGCACCGCAGCGCACCUCCUGCUACCUCUUGAGCAAUGCGUUGGUUUUCCCUUGAAGAGGAAAGGGUGAUACAGCAAAGUAGCGUAAGUAUUUCCCUCAGUUUUUGAGAACCAAGGUAUCAAUCCAGUAGGAGGCUACGCGCGAGUCCCUCGCACCUACACAAAACAAAUAAAUCCUCGCAACCAACGCGAUAAGGGGUUGUCAAUCCCUACACGGUCACUUACGAGAGUGAGAUCUGAUAGAUAUGAUAGGAUAAUAUUUUUGGUAUUUUUAUGAUAAAGAUGCAAAGUAAAAUAAAAGCAAAGUAAAAAAGCAAAGGAAAUAACUAAGUGAUGGAAGAUUAAUAUGAUGAAGAUAGCCCCGGGGGCCAUAGGUUUCACUAGUGGCUUCUCUCAAGAGCAUAAGUAUUUUACGGUGGGUGAACAAAUUACUGUUGAGCAAUUGACAGAAUUGAGCAUAGUUAUGAGAAUAUCUAGGUAUGAUCAUGUAUAUAGGCAUCACGUUUGAGACAAGUAGACCGACUCCUGCCUGCAUCUACUACUAUUACUCCACACAUCGAUCGCUAUCCAGCAUGCAUCUAGAGUAUUAAGUUCAUAAGAACAGAGUAACGCCUUAAGCAAGAUGACAUGAUGUAGAGGGAUAAAUUCAUGCAAUAUGAUAAAAAAACCAUCUUGUUAUCCUCGAUGGCAACAAUACAAUACGUGCCUUGCUGCCCCUACUGUCACUGGGAAAGGACACCGCAAGAUCGAACCCAAAGCUAAGCACUUCUCCCAUUGCAAGAAAGAUCAAUCUAGUAGGCCAAACCAAACUGAUAAUUCGAAGAGACUUGCAAAGAUAACCAAUCAUACAUAAAAGAAUUUAGAAGAUUCAAAUAUUGUUCAGAUAAACUUGAUCAUAAACCCACAAUUCAUCGGUCUCAACAAACACACCGCAAAAGAAGAUUACAUCGAAUAGAUCUCCACGAGAGAGGGGGAGAACAUUGUAUUGAGAUCCAAAAAGAGAGAAGAAGCCAUCUAGCUAAUAACUAUGGACCCGAAGGUCUGAGGUAAACUACUCACACUUCAUCGGAGAGGCUAUGGUGUUGAUGUAGAAGCCCUCCGUGAUGGAUGCCCCCUCCGGCGGAGCUCCGGAACAGGCCCCAAGAUGGGAUCUCAUGGGUACAGAAGGUUGCGGCGGUGGAAUUAGGUUUUUGGCUCCGUAUCUGAUCGUUUGGGGGUACGUAGGUAUAUAUAGGAGGAAGGAGUACGUCGGUGGAGCAACGUGGGGCCCGCGAGGGUGGAGGGCGCACCUGGGGGGUAGGCGCGCCCCCCUACCUCGUGGCCUCCUGGAAGCUUCCUUGACAUAGGGUCCAAGUCUCCUGGAUCAUGUUCGUUCCGGAAAUCAUGUUCCCGAAGGUUUCAUUCCGUUUGGACUCCGUUUGAUAUUCUUUUUCUGCGAAACUCUGAAAUAGGCAAAAAACAGCAAUUCUGGGCUGGGCCUCCGGUUAAUAGGUUAGUCCCAAAAAUAAUAUAAAAGUGAAUAAUAAAGCCCAAUAAUGUCCAAAACAGAAGAUAAUAUAGCAUGGAGCAAUCAAAAAUUAUAGAUACGUUGGAGACGUAUCAAGCAUCCCCAAGCUUAAUUCCUGCUCGUCCUCGAGUAGGUAAAUGAUAAAAACAGAAUUUUUGAUGCGGAAUGCUACUUGGCAUAAUUUCAAUGUAAUUCUUCUUAAUUGUGGUAUGAAUAUUCAGAUCCGAAAGAUUCAAGAUAAAAGUUCAUAUUGACAUAAAAAUAAUAUUACUUCAAGCAUACUAACUAAGCAAUUAUGUCCUCUCAAAAUAACAUGGCCAAAGAAAGUUCAUCCCUACAAAAUCAUAUAGUUUAGUCAUGCUUCAUUUUCAUCACACAAGAAUGCUCUCAUCAUGCACAACCCCAAUGACAAGCCAAGCAAUUGUUUCAUACUUUAGUAAUCUCAAACUUUAUAAACCUUCACGCAAUACAUGAGCGUGAGCCAUGGACAUAGCACUAUGGAUGGAAUAGAAUAUAAUGAUGGGGGUUAUGUGGAGAAGACAAAAAAGGAGAAAGUCUCACAUCAACGAGGCUAAUCAAUGAGUUAUGGAGAUGCCCAUCGAUUGAUGUUGAUGCAAGGAGUAGGGAUUGCCAUGCAACGGAUGCACUAGAGCUAUAAAUGUAUGAAAGCUCAAAAAAAGAAACUAAGUGGGUCUGCAUCCAACUUGCUUGCUCACGAAGACCUAGGGCACUUGAGGAGGCCCAUUGUUGGAAUAUACAAGCCAAGUUCUAUAAUGAAAAAUUCCCACUAGUAUAUGAAAGUGACAAAACAAGAGACUCUCUAUCAUGAAGAUUAUGGUACUACUUUGAAGCACAAGUGUGGUAAAAGGAUAGUAGCAUUGUCCCUUUUUAUUUAUUUUUUUGGGCCUUCUUUUUUUUUAUUUGGUCUUUCUCUUUUUUGGGGGACAAUGCUCUAUUAAAUGAUGACCAUCACACUUCUAUUUAUUUACAACUCAAUGAUUACAACUCGAUACUAAACAAAGUAUGACUCUAUAUGAAUGCCUCCGGUGGUGUACCGGGAUAUGCAAUGAACCAAGAGUGACAUGUAUGAAAGAAUUAUGAACGGUGGCUUUGCCACAAAUACUAUGUCAACUACAUGAUCAUGCUAAGCAAUAUGACAAUGAUGAACGUGUCAUGAUAAACGGAAUGGUGGAAAGUUGCAUGGCAAUAUAUCUCGGAAUGGCUAAGGAAAUGCCAUAAUAGGUAGGUAUGGUGGCUGUUUUGAGGAACAUAUAAGGAGGUUUAUGUGUGAAAGAGCGUAUCAUAUCACGGGGUUUGGAUGCACCGGCGAAGUUUGCACCAACUCUCAAUGUGAGAAAGGGCAAUGCACGGUACCGAAGAGGCUAGCAGUGAUGGAAAGGUGAGAGUGCAUAUAAUCCAUGGACUCAACAUUAGUCAUAAAGAACUACAUACUUAUUGCAAAAAUCUACAAGUCAUCAAAAACCAAGCACUACGUGCAUGCUCCUAGGGGGAUAGAUUGGUAGGAAAAGACCAUUGCUCGUCCCCGACCGCCACUCAUAAGGAGGACAAUCAAAGAACACCUCAUGUUUCAAAUUUGUUACAUAACGUUUACCAUACGUGCAUGCUACGGGACUUGCAAACUUCAACACAAGUAUUUCUCGAAUUCACAACUACUCAACUAGCACGACUUUGAUAUCACUACCUCCAUGUCUCAAAACAAUCAUCAAGCAUCAAACUUCUCUUAGUAUUCAACACACUCAUAAGAAAGUUUUUACUAUCUUGAAUACCUAGCAUAUUAGGAUUUUUUAAGCAAAUUACCAUGCUAUUUAAGACUCUCAAAAUAAUCUAAGUGAAGCAUGAGAGAUCAAUAGUUUCUAUAAAACAAAUCCACCACCGUGCUCUAAAAGAUAUAAGUGAAGCACUAGAGCAAAAACUAUAUAACUCAAAAGAUAUAAGUGAAGCACAUAGAGUAUUCUAAUAAUUUCCAAAUCAUGUGUGUCUCUCUUAAAAGGUGUGUACAGCAAGGAUGAUUGUGGUAAACUAAAAAGCAAAGAAUCAAAUCACACAAGGCGCUCCAAGCAAAACACAUAUCAUGUGGUGAAUAAAAAUAUAGCUCCAAGUAAAGUUACCGAUGGAAGUAGACGAAAGAGGGGAUGCCUUCCGGGGCAUCCCCAAGCUUUGGAUUUUUGGUGUCCUUAGAUUAUCUUGGGGGUGCCUUGGGCAUCCCCAAGCUUAGGCUCUUGCCACUCCUUGUUUCAUAAUCCAUCAAAUCUUUCACCCAAAACUUGAAAACUUCACAACACAAAACUCAGCAGAAAAUCUCGUGAGCUCCGUUAGCGAAAGAAAACAAAAGACCACUUCAAGGUACAGUAAUGAACUCAUUCUUUAUUUAUAUUGGUGUUAAACAUAAUGUAUUCCAACUUCUCUAUGGUUUAUAAACUAUUUUACUAGCCAUAGAUUCAUCAAAAUAAGCAAACAACACACGAAAAACAGAAUCUGUCAAAAACAGAACAGUCUGUAGUAAUCUCUAACUAAUGCAAACUUCUGGAACUCCAAAAAAUCAGCCAAAAUAGGAAGACCUAGACAAUUUGUUUAUUGAUCAGAAUAAAUUUGAAUCAGUAAUUUAUCACGUUCUGGUGAUUUUUAACAAUUAUUUUCGUGAACAGAAAGUUUCUGGAAUUUCUGCAAGAUCAAAUAACUAUCAUCCAAGAAGAUCCUAUAGGUUUAACUUGGCACAAACACUAAUUAAAACAUAAAAACACAUCUAACCAGAGGCUAGAACAAAUAUUUAUUCCUAAACAGAAGCAAAAAGCAAAAAAUAAAAAUAAAAUUGGGUUGCCUCCCAACAAGCGCUAUCGUUUAACGCCCCUAGCUAGGCAUAAAAGCAAGGAUAGAUCUAGGUAUUGCCAUCUUUGGUGGGCAAUCCAUAAGUUGCUCUCAUAAUAGAUUCAUAUGGUAAUUUUAUUUUCUUCCUAGGGAAGUGUUCCAUGCCUUUCUUUAAUGGAAAUUGGAAUCUAAUAUUCCCUUCCUUCAUAUCAAUAAUUGCACCAAUCGUUCUAAGGAAAGGUCUACCAAGAAUAAUAGGACAUGAAGGAUUGAAAUCAAUGUCAAGAGCGAUAAAAUCUACGGGAACAUAGUUCCUAUUUGCAACAAUAAGAACAUCAUUAAUUCUUCCCGUAGGUUUCUUAAUAGUGGAAUCCGCAAGGUGCAAGUUUAAAGAGCAAUCAUCAAAAUCACGGAAACCUAGCAAAUCGCACAAAGUUUUUGAAAUCGUGGAAACACUAGCACCCAAAUCACACAAAGCAUAGCAUUCAUGAUCUUUAAUCUUAAUUUUAAUAGUAGGUUACCACUCAUCAUAAAGUUUUCUAGGCAUAGAAACUUCCAACUCAAGUUUUUCUUCAUAAGAUUGCAUCAAAGCAUCAACGAUAUGUUUGGUAAAAGCUUUAUUUUGACUAUAAGCAUGAGGAGAAUUUAGCACGGAUUGCAACAAGGAAAUACAAUCUAUCAAAGAGCAGUUGUCAUAAUUAAAUUCCUUGAAAUCCAAAAUAGUGGGUUUAUUAACAUCUAGAGUAUUGAUCUCUUCAAUCCCACUUUUAUCAAUUUUAGCAUCAAGAUCUAAAAACUCAGAAUUUUUGGAACGCCUUCUAGGUAAAGGUGGAUCAUAUUCAGUCCCAUCAUUAUCAAGAUUCAUAUCGCAAAACAAAGAUUUAAUAGGGGACACAUCAAUAACUUUUAGAUCUUCAUCUUUGUUUUUAUAGAAAUUUGAAGAACACGCUUUCAUAAAGCAAUCUUUCUUAGCACGCAUCCUAGCGGUUCUUUCUUUGCACUCAUCAAUGGAAAUUCUCAUGGCUUUGAGAGACUCAUUGAUAUCAUGAUUAGGAGGAAUAGAUCUCAGUUUCAAAGAAUCAACAUCAAGAGAAAUUCUAUCAACGUUCCUAGCCAAUUCAUCAACUUUAAGCAAUUUUUCUUCAAGCAAGGCAUUGAAAUUCUUUUGCGAAUUCAUAAAUUCCUUAACACUAGUCUUAAAUUCAGAGGGCAUCUUAUUAAAAUUUCCAUAAGAAUUGUUGUAGGAAUUACCAUAAUUAUUAGAGGAAUUGCUAGGAUAAGGCCUAGGAUUAAAGUUUCCUCUAUACCGUUGUUACCAAAAUUAUUCCUACCAACGAAAUUCACAUCCAUAGAUUCAUUAUUAUUCUCAAUCAAAGUAGACAAGGGCAUAUCAUUAGGAUCAGAAGAAACACUUUUACUAGCAAAUAAUUUCAUAAGUUCAUCCAUCUUUCCACUCAAAACAUUAAUUUCUUCUAUCGCAUGCACUUUUUUAUUAGUAGAUCUUUCAGUGUGCCAUUGAGAAUAAUUAACCAUAAUAUUAUCUAGGAGUUUAGUAGCUUCUCCUAAAGUGAUUUCCAUAAAAGUGCCUCCCGCGGCCGAAUCUAAAAGAUUUCUAGAAGCAAAAUUCAAUCUGGCAUAAAAAAUUUGUAUAAUCAUCCACAAAUUUAAACCAUGCGUAGGGCAAUUACGUAUCAUUAAUUUCAUCCUCUCCCAAGCUUGUGCAACAUGUUCAUGAUCAAGUUGCUUAAAAUUCACAAUAUCGUUUCUAAGAGAGAUGAUCUUAGCGGGAGGAAAAUACUUAGAGAUAAAAGCAUCUUUGCACUCAUUCCUAGAAUCAAUACUAUUUUUAGGCAAAGACGAAAACCAAGCUUUACCACGAUCUCUAAGCGAAAAAGGAAAUAGCUUCAAUUUAACAAUAUCAUUGUCAACAUCUUUCUUCUUUUGCAUAUCACACAAAUCAACGAAGCUGUUUAGAUAAGUAGCGGCAUCUUCACUAGGAAGGCCGGCGAAUUGGUCUUUCAUGACAAGAUUCAACAAAGCAGCAUUGAUUUCACAAGAUUCAGUAUUGGUAAGAGGAGCAAUCGGAGUGCUAAGGAAAUCAUUAUUGUUGGUAUUGGUAAAGUCACAUAAUUUGGUAUUAUCUUGAGCCAUCGUGACAAACAAGCAAUCCAACACACGAGCAAGCAAGAGACGGGCAAAAAGAAGCAAACGGAAAAGAGAGGGCGAAUAAAACGGCAAGGGUGAAGUGGGGGAGAGGAAAACGAGAGGCAAAUGGCAAAUAAUGUAAUGCGGGAGAUAAGGGUUUGUGAUGGGUACUUGGUAUGUUGACUUUUGCGUAGACCUCCCCGGCAACGGCGCCAGAAAUCCUUCUUGCUACCUCUUGAGCACUGCGUUGGUUUUCCCUUGAAGAGGAAAGGGUGAUACAACAAAGUAGCGUAAGUAUUUCCCUCAGUUUUUGAGAACCAAGGUAUCAAUCCAGUAGGAGGCUACGCGCGAGUCCCUCGCACCUACACAAAACAAAUAAAUCCUCGCAACCAACGCGAUAAGGGGUUGUCAAUCCCUACACGGUCACUUACGAGAGUGAGAUCUGAUAGAUAUGAUAUGAUAAUAUUUUUAGUAUUUUUAUGAUAAAGAUGCAAAGUAAAAUAAAAGCAAAGUAAAAAGCAAAGGAAAUAACUAAGUGAUGGAAGAUUAAUAUGAUGAAGAUAGACCCGGGGCCAUAGGUUUCACUAGUGGCUUCUCUCAUGAGCAUAAGUAUUUUACGGUGGGUGAACAAAUUACUGUUGAGCAAUUGACAGAAUUGAGCAUAGUUAUGAGAAUAUCUAGGUAUGAUCAUGUAUAUAGGCAUCACGUCCGAGACAAGUAGACCGACUCAUGCCUGCAUCUACUACUAUUACUCCACACAUCGACCGCUAUCCAGUAUGCAUCUAGAGUAUUAAGUUCAUAAGAACAGAGUAACGCCUUAAGCAAGAUGACAUGAUGUAGAGGGAUAAAUUCAUGCAAUAUGAUAAAAAAACCAUCUUGUUAUCCUCGGUGGCAACAAUACAAUACGUGCCUUGCUGCCCCUACUGUCACUGGGAAAGGACACCGCAAGAUUGAACCCAAAGCUAAGCACUUCUCCCAUUGCAAGAAAGAUCAAUCUAGUAGGCCAAACCAAACUGAUAAUUCAAAGAGACUUGCAAAGAUAACCAAUCAUACAUAAAAGAAUUCAGAAGAUUCAAAUAUUGUUCAUAGAUAAACUUGAUCAUAAACCCACAAUUCAUCGGUCUCAACAAACACACCGCAAAAGAAGAUUACAUCGAAUAGAUCUCCACGAGAGAGGGGGAGAACAUUGUAUUGAGAUCCAAAAAGAGAGAAUAAGCCAUCUAGCUAAUAACUACGGACCCGAAGGUCUGAGGUAAACUACUCACACUUCAUCGGAGAGGCUAUGGUGUUGAUGUAGAAGCCCUCCGUGAUGGAUGCCCCCUCCGGCGGAGCUCCGAAACAGGCCCCAAGAUGGGAUCUCAUGGGUACAGAAGGUUGCGGCGGUGGAAUUAGGUUUUUGGCUCCGUAUCUGAUCGUUUGGGGUUACGUAGGUAUAUAUAGGAGGAAGGAGUACGUCGGUGGAGCAACGUGGGGCCCACGAGGGUGGAGGGCGCGCCUGGGGAUGUAGGCGCGCCCCCUACCUCGUGGCCUCCUGGAAGCUUCCUUGACGUAGGGUCCAAGUCUCCUGGAUCAUGUUCGUUCCGAAAAUCAUGUUCCCGAAGGCUUCAUUCCGUUUGGACUCCGUUUGAUAUUCUUUUUCUGCGAAACUCUGAAAUAGGCAAAAAAACAGCAAUUCUGGGUUGGGCCUCCGGUUAAUAGGUUAGUCCCAAAAAUAAUAUAAAUAUGAAUAAUAAAGCCCAAUAAUGUCCAAAACAGAAGAUAAUAUAGCAUGGAGCAAUCAAAAAUUAUAGAUACGUUGGAGACGUAUCACCUCCCGAGCCGCACCGCAGCCCCGCCGCCUCGCGCCGCUGCACGCCUCCUCGCCGCCCGCUGCUGCUGNNNNNNNNNNNNNNNNNNNNNNNNNNNNNNNNNNNNNNNNNNNNNNNNNNNNNNNNNNNNNNNNNNNNNNNNNNNNNNNNNNNNNNNNNNNNNNNNNNNNNNNNNNNNNNNNNNNNNNNNNNNNNNNNNNNNNNNNNNNNNNNNNNNNNNNNNNNNNNNNNNNNNNNNNNNNNNNNNNNNNNNNNNNNNNNNNNNNNNNNNNNNNNNNNNNNNNNNNNNNNNNNNNNNNNNNNNNNNNNNNNNNNNNNNNNNNNNNNNNNNNNNNNNNNNNNNNNNNNNNNNNNNNNNNNNNNNNNNNNNNNNNNNNNNNNNNNNNNNNNNNNNNNNNNNNNNNNNNNNNNNNNNNNNNNNNNNNNNNNNNNNNNNNNNNNNNNNNNNNNNNNNNNNNNNNNNNNNNNNNNNNNNNNNNNNNNNNNNNNNNNNNNNNNNNNNNNNNNNNNNNNNNNNNNNNNNNNNNNNNNNNNNNNNNNNNNNNNNNNNNNNNNNNNNNNNNNNNNNNNNNNNNNNNNNNNNNNNNNNNNNNNNNNNNNNNNNNNNNNNNNNNNNNNNNNNNNNNNNNNNNNNNNNNNNNNNNNNNNNNNNNNNNNNNNNNNNNNNCCCGUGCCUCGCCGGAAUCCGAGCCGCCGCCGUCGGAUCUCGUCGUCGCGGUUUUUUUUCGGUUUGAGGUAAAAACCCCGGUUUAAAAAAAAACCUAGAUGCGUUUUUUUUGUUCGGUUUUCGUCGGUUUACUUAUUUAGCGGACGUUUGUCCGUUCGUUCAUUUUUACGAAUGAUAUUCGCCAGUUAGGUUCGGACAGCGAACGUUCGUUCGUUCGUCUUUUCUUUUUUUUUCACCUAGGGACCUAUCCGUGAUUACUUUUAUCGCAGAUUAGCCCCUGAUCUUCAAACGCUCGCCGUUUCUUAACCAUUUGUCCAAAUCCAGUGAAACCAACGCCAAAAUCUUUGUCUCGAGUCCCUCUUUAUGUAUAAUAAACUUGAACAAGGUUUUGACAAUUUGAAAAUUGGUUUCAAGCAGAUUUGUAUUCGAAGUUCUUUUGACCGUAGUUUCAGUUUCGUAGCUCCGAUUUGAUUGAUUCUUUUUGCAGAUCGAAUCUCUUCAGUUGAGUUUUCAGAUUUGAUCUUCUUAUUUGAGUUUUACCCGUGCAUCUUUGAUUGAGUGCUUAUGUAUGCUAUUGUUUGUUUGCGAUAGAAUUCCCGGAGUGCGAAGCGUGCUACUACGAGUCACUAGGUUUUGCGGAUCGUCGGCAAGGCAAGUAACACAUUGAUCAUACUCUUUUCAUACCCAGUUUUUAUGCAUUAGUUUCAAUCCUCAAACAUUGCAUGAUUAGGAUGUGAUUAACAUGUGGGUAUUGGGAAGUAGAUGAUGAGGUAGAACCUAUUGCCCUGUUUAUUAUCAAACCCUGGGAGUUACUUCUACGUUAUGCUUAUGUUGCUAUGCUAUGCUCGUAGACGUGGUUUGGUUUGAGAGAUCCAUGACAGUUGUGAGUGUUUAAUUAAUGGUUAACUUAAGGUGGCAACUUUAAUACACAUCUGGGUGGAUUGCUUGUGGGCACCUGGAGAAUCCAGUGUUGUCCUAGGAUAUCCCGGAGUACCCGUGUGAUCAUCCUACGGUCCGCCACCCAGGCUCAAAGGGAUCAUAAGAUUAUUCAUGCUAGAAACUUCCGUGUGCAGCCACAAGCUAUUAUGGGCUCUAGCAUAGUUGAGUAUGUUGCAUGACCUCUUUCAGUGGUGGGCUAGCAGAUGUAGGAGAAAGUAGGUGUAACUGUCCACCCAGAGUAAAGAGUUAAUGUUUCUGAAAGACUGUGUCUUGUUCAUCCGUUUCUCAAACACCAUGUAGUGCGAGAAAUUCAAUGGAGGAGAUCGAGUCUUGUGGGGAAAAGUGCGCAAACCUCUGCAGAGUGUACAAACUAAUCAUGGUUAGCCGUGUCCCCGGUUAUGGACAUCUUGAGUAUCUGGUUCUUGGAUUAUCAUAUGGAUCUCAUCACUCUAAUUUAAUUUGUUGGGUUGAUAACGACUUUUAAUUGGGUUUGAGUUGGAGGAACCUUCUCAAUGUUGUUCAACUACCAUGAUAGUUAAAUAAAAUAUAUUCCUUUGUUGUAGGGAAAAGUUGGCUUUUCGCAAAAACAUAUUAACCAUAGAGCCUCCACCAGCCAUAUAUGCAUGUAGUGAUAGCAUCUAUCUUGUUCAUUGCUCUACUGUGUUAUAUUGCCAGGAUAUUCCAUGUGCUCCGUUUUCGGGCUGCAACUUAUCAUGUUGCAGACUUUUCACACGAAGAGUAAGGUGCGCUAGGUCGUUGUCGUGCACUCAGCUAUGCCGUUGGAGUUGAUGGACUCACUUUAUCUUCCAAGCCUUCCGCUGUUAUUUAUUUAGAUGGCCUUAAGCCAUAUUUAUUGUAAUAAGUUCUCUUUUGUGACUAUCGAUGUAAUAAGUGUGUGAUUGCUACUCUGUUAUAAAUCCUUCAAGUACUGCGUGUGUCAGCAUUACCGAUCCAGGGAUAACACUUAAGCACAGAGACUUGACCGUCUGAGGUCGGGUCGCUACAAGAUGGUAUCAGAGCACACGCUGAAUAUAGGACACGACCACUAAGAUGAGCCAUAGGUCACUCUUCUCUACUCAUUUCUAACUCCUCUCCAUUUUCUACCCUUUAGGAUGGCGGACUCAAGGAACAAGUUUACACAACCGGAUGAAGACACACCUUUUGGGACACACUUGAAGGAAGUUACUAGGUACCUGAACAUCGGAAUACCAAGCUUCACCGGGACCUACACCGCCACUUUACCAGAAGAGGAGCGAUGGAUGAUUCGAGUUCAAGUUCCAGGAAGGACGUUCACGCCAGUCACUGAGCCCAUAGAGUUUUCUUUUGACGCACCAACCUGGAGUCUAGGAAAGAGCAUGGCAGCCCACAUUGCUAUGGGAUGCAUCAGAGAAGUCUACAAACAGGAUCUUAAGGACACCAUCUAUCAGAUAUGUGGGCGCCGGGAUGAGCAAUGGGAGAUGAUCAGUACCGGGAGGGACAGGUCCAUUGCAGCUUUUAUCCAGGAGCUAAACCAGCACAUUCGUCGACAGGAGAACCAGAUGUGUGCAAGCAUGAUAGAUCUGAAGAAGGCGAUGACCAGGAACAUGGAGCUAGAAGCGGAACUCAAGUCUACAUGCGACGGAUGCGAGGAAGAAAUCGCAAUACUAGUGGAGAAGAAUGACGACCUGACAAGGAAGCUCAGAGUAUUCAUGGGAGAUGUGACGCCCCCGAUUUGACCGUACACUAAUCAUGCACGCAAAUGUGUACGAUCAAGGUCAGGGACUCACGGGAAGAUAUCACAACACAACUCUACAACAUAAAUAAGUCAUACAAGCAUCAUAAUACAAGCCAGGGGCCUCGAGGGCUCGAAUACAAGUGCUCGAUCAUAGACGAGUCAGCGGAAGCAAUAAUAUCUGAGUACAGACAUAAGUUAAACAAGUUUGCCUUAAGAAGGCUAGCACAAAAGUAGCAACGAUCGAAAAGGCAAGGCCUCCUGCCCGGGACCUCCUAACUACUCCUCGAAGCCGAACUCCAUGUAGAAUCACCCUCGGGAUCUCUAGCUCCUGGACUCCAGCAUCUGGUUGCGACAAUCCGGUAUAGAAAAAGGGGAAAGAGGGAGAAAAGCAACCGUGAGUACUCAUCCAAAGUACUCGCAAGCAAGGAGCUAUACUACAUAUGCAUGGGUAUAUGUGUAAAGGGGCAUAUCAGUGGACUGAACUGCAGAAUGCCAGAAUAAAAGGGGGAUAGCUAGUCCUGUCGAAGACUACGCUUCUGGCCAUCUCCAUCUUGCAGCAGGUAGAAGAGAGUAGAUUGAAGUCCUCCAAGUAGCAUCGCAUAGCAUAAUCCUACCCGACGAUCCCCUCCUCGUCGCCCUGUUAGAGAGCGAUCACCGGGUUGUAUCUGGCACUUGGAAGGGUGUAUUUUAUUCAGUAUCCAGUUCUAGUUGUCGUCAAGGUACAACUCCGGGUCGUCCUUUUACCGAGGGACACGGCUAUUCGAAUAGAUAAACUUCCCUGCAGGGGUGCACCACAUAACCCAACACGCUCGAUCCCAUUUGGCCGGACACACUUUUCUGGGUCAUGCCCGGCCUCGUAAGAUCAACACGUCGCAGCCCCACCUAGGCUCAUCAGAGAGGUCAGCACGCCGGUCUAAACCUAUGCGCGCAGGGGUCUGGGCCCAUCGCCCUAUGCACACCUGCACGUUGCGUACGCGGCCGGAAGCAGACCUAGCCCCCUUAAUACAAGCGCGAGCUUACGGUCCAAUGCGGCGCGCGCCACUCAGUCGCUGACGUCAAAAGAGCUUCGGCUGAUACCACGACGUCGGGAUACCCAUAACUACUCCCACGUAGAUGGUUAGUGCGUAUAGACCAAAUGGCCAGACUCAGAUCAAAUACCAAGAACUCGUUAAGCGUGUUAAGCAUCCGCGAACGCCGACCAGGGCCAGGCCCACCUCUCUCCUAGGUGGUCUCAACCUGCCCUGUCGCUCCGCCAUAAAGUAACAGUCGGGGGCCGUCAGGAACCCAGGCCCACCUCUACCGGGGUGGAGCCACCUGUCCUUUCAGCCCCCUCAUCAGAAUCACUUGCGGGUACUCCUCGAGCCGACCCGACUUUAGUCACCACAUGUGUCAUGUAUAAAUGUAUAUAGUAUAUACCCGUGAUCACCUCCCAAAGUGAUCACGGCCCAGUAGUAUAGCAUGGCAGACGGACAAGAGUGUAGGGCCACUGAUGGAACACUAGCAUCCUAUACUAAGCAGUAGGAUAGCAGGUAAAGGUAUCAACAGUAGUAGCAAGGAUGGGCUAUGCAUCAGGAUAGGAUAUCGAAAAACAGUAACAUGCUACACUACUCUAAUGCAAGAAGUAUAGAGAAGAAUAGGCGAUAUCUGGUGAUCAAGGGGGGGGGGCUUGCCUGGUUGCUCUGGCAAGUAGGAGGGGUCGUCGACUCCGUAGUCGAACUGGGCAGCAGCAGUGUCGGUCUCGUAGUCUACCGGAGAGAAGAGGGGGAAGAAACAGUAAAUACAAUGCAAACAUAAGCAUGACGAUGCGUGACAUGACAAUGAGCGGUGCUAGGUGUGUCCUAACGCGACAGUAGGUGGUACCGGCGAAGGGGGGAACAUCCGGGAGGUAUUCCCGAUGUUUCGCGUUUUCGGACAGACGGACCGGAGGGGGAAAGUUGCUAGUUCGAUAGGUUAGGGAGGUGUGGUGGACGAACGGACUGCGUAUUCGGAUUCGUCUCGUCGUUCUGAGCAACUUUCAUAUAGAAAACAUUUUCAUCCGAGUUACGGUUUAAAAGAUAUGAAUUUUCAAAGUUUAUUUGAAUUUCUGGAAUUAUUUGAAUUUAGCAAAAAUGAAUUAUGACGUCAGCAUGAGGUAAUGCUGAUGUCAGCAGGUCAACAGGUCGGCUGACCAGUCAACCCAGACAGGUGGGUCCAGUGGGACCCACAUGUCAGCCUCUGUUAGUCUAAUAUUAAUUUAAACUAAACUAACAGUCUAAUUAGAGGGGUGGGCCCCAUAUGUCAGUGAGUGAUUAGUUAAUCUAAUUAAUUUUAUUUAUAAAACAUUUUCCUUUUUCCUUUUUUUUAAUUUUUGCGGCGGGGCCCGCAUGUCAGUGGCUGGGCCUGCCCAGUCAGCAGUUGACUGGGUCAACCCAGUCAACUGGGUCCACGGGGCCCACUGGCAGUGGUACUGGGGGUGGCCCCAGGCCAGCCACGUCGGCGGCCGGCGCCGGAGCGACUCCGACGAGCCAAACGCGGCGGCGCGGCUCGGGAGGGGCGCGGGUUUCGCGCACAGGGGGUCUGCGGGGUUGUGGCUGGGCGCGUUCGACGCGGCUCGGCGCCGCGCGUCCAACGGUGGUGGCCGGAGUGGCUGGAACGGGCGGGGGCGAGCACUUCGAGCUCGCCGGCGGCGAGGUGCUUCGGGCUGGGGCGGGUGCGGCGUUAGAGCGCGCGAGCGGCCGAACUAACUAGCUAGGCGGGUGCGGCACGAUGCGGUCGAGGUAACGGGCCUACGCCCAUGACCAAAUGGUCACCGGAGACCCGCCGGCGACGAGCUCCGCGGCGCGGCGUUCGGGCGCGCGUGGGGAAGCCGCUAGGGGGCGCGCGAGAGAGAAAGGACAGGGGAGGAGGGGGGAGAGGCUCACCGCGCGGCACACGGAGGCCGGUGAGAGGCUUAGGACCAGCAGGUCGGCGUCGGGGAAGAAGGGGGUCGCCGGCGUCCGAAGCUGAAGACGAGCUCGGUGUGCUCGUUGUAGGGGCUCCGGUCUCCAACGGGCUGCACCAGACGCAGCAGCGGGCGACGGCGGUCCUUGGAGACACCUUGGGGCGGCGAGGCGGGCACGGUGGCCGUGUGAACGACGGUGAACGGAGGCGACCGCGUCGGGCGUGGGGAAGGGAGGAGCGGCGCGGACCUGGGGGGGAAGAGAGAGGCGCAGAGGCCGAGAGGAGAGAGAGAGGGGGGGAGUGGAGGUGCCCGAGGCGUCGCGGGAGGUGGAGGCCUUAUCCUCUCGCGGCGAUGCCGGCGAGGUGAUCCGGCGGGGUCUCGCCCCUGUAGCGAUGCGGUCGCUGGAACAGGGAAGACGACCGGGGAGGGGGAGUUGGGCUGGCUAGCUGGCCAGCUGGGCCAGUGGGCCAAGGCCCUUGGGGAGCCCGGGGUUUCUUUUCUUUUGCUUUCUUUUUACUUUUUAUUUAUUUUUCUUUUCUGUUUUAUUUCCAGUUUCUCUUUUAUUUUGUUUUAGUAAAUUACCAAAGUGACACCUAAAUAGAUUUUACAAAUUAUGCCACUGCCACAAUAGUUUAAUACUUAUAACAAUUUAGUUUUGAAGAUGUUUAUUAUUUUUAAAGCAUUUAAAUAAUUGUAUUUGCUACUGUUUUAUUCAUUUUAGAGUAUUUAAACAUUUUAUAAAAGUGUGGUUUCUCCACCAUAAUUACCUAUGCAAUAUUUGGUUCACUCCGAACAUUUUAGUUUUAAUAUUUGAAAACUUUUAUUGUUUUCUUUUAUUUAAAUUUUGAAUUUGUUUCAGUUCUGAACUAUCGAGAGUUUAUCAACAGUAACCGCGGUGACAUGGCAUCAUUAGCAGGGGAUCACUGUAGCUUAAUUAUCCGGGCGUCACAGGAGACCCCGCGCCAGUAGGAGGUGAUGACCAAUCCAACGACAUCCGUUAUGAAGACUACAUCAUCAUCGACGACACCGACUCCGACCCUGACAGUAGUGAUGAUGAUUACGAAGAUGAAGCUGGAGCGGAUAUCAUGGAGUCUUCCACCGAUCAAAAUUUCUAGUAGACCACCAUAUGAUCAGUAGUAUUUCCCGCAUGUAUAUAGUAGUAGUCCGAGCACUGUAACGAUAGUUAGAUCGAUUGUAUGCCCUUGUUUGAAUUGAUUUGGUGUGAUAUGAUUGUGUUUGUCUCAUGUGUAUAUGGGUAGUGAUUUCCCCUUAGACCUCACUCUAUUCUAAUCUCUUCUCUCUAAACCCAUCAGAUGCCUCCGAGACGUGACACCGGAUUUGUUUUCCCACCGGAGCUCACUCAGUUGAUCCAGCAGCAGAAUGCCUUGAUGCAGUUGUUAGUUUAGAACCAAGGCAACAACAACAACAACAACAACAACCCACCGCCACCACCUCCAGUUGACAAUUUAGCCCGUUUUCUGAGGUUGCGGCCGCCGGUGUUUUCCAGUAGCACCGAGCCGAUAGUUGCUGAUGAUUGGCUACGCAGGAUUGGAAGGGAGUUGACCACCGCAGGUUGCCUAGAUGCUGAGAAGGUGCGUUUUGCCGCACAUCAAUUGGAUGGACCCGCAGCCUCAUGGUGGGAGAAUUACACAGCCACUUUCCCUAUAGCCAAUAUCACUUGGGAACAGUUUCAGCAAGCUUUCCGCACAGCCCAUGUCUGAACUGGAGCUAUGAGCAUGAAGAAGCAUGAGUUUCGCAACUUACGCCAGGGGAAUCGUACUGUGGGGCAGUACGUAGAUGGGUUUAACAAGUUAUCUCGCUAUGCCCCUGAGGAUGUGGCCACAGAUGCCGCGAAGCAGGAGAAGUUUAUGGAAGGGUUGAAUGAUGAGAUGAGCAUGCAGUUAAUGGUGGCAACAUUUAACAACUACCAGGAGUUGGUAGACAAGGCCCUUAUGAUUGAAGGGAAGCAGCAACAAAUUGAGAGCCACAAGAGGAAGUAUGGACAAGGGAAGUACAAUUCAGGGGCUCAGCAGAAGCCGCGUUUUACCCCGAACUCGGGAGGAUAUACCCAUAACCAUGGAGGCCACACUCACAAUGGAGGAAGUUCUCAUAAUCACAAUGGCCCCAAGAAUGGGAAUGGGAAUGGAGCAAGCAACAAUCAGAACUGCUCCAACCCAGCCACACCCGCCAAGAAGGACUUAAGUCACAUUACUUGUUUCAAGUGCGGGAAGACUGGACACUACGCCACCAAGUGUUUUGAAGCAAAGAAUGGCAACGCAAUGGAAGCUCUGGGAAGAAGCCCAACCCUUUCAACAGGGGACAAGUGAACCACGUUAACGUGGAGGAGGUUGAAGAGCAGCCAGACGCAGUUAUCGGUAAGUUUUUGGUUAAGUCAUUUACCGCUCUCGUUCCUUUUGAUACUGGUGCAUCGCAUUCAUACAUUUCAAGGGGAUUUGUGGAUAAGUAUAAGUUGCCCACUAAAGUUCUUAGAACACCUAUGUUAGUAACCUCACCCGGAGCUGAGUAUAUGGCAAGUAGUGGAUGUUUCAGAUGCCAUUAACCAUAGGUAGCCAUACCUUCCCCUCAGACUUUAUAAUUCUAGAAUCCCAAGGAUUGGAUGUGAUUCUAGGCAUGGAUUGGUUGUCGAUGUAUGGAGGAAACAUCGAUUGCGCCAGUAAGUCAAUUCUGCUCACCACCCCGGAGGGAAAAAGGAUCAAGUAUGUAUCUAGGCAUGCGCCUAGGAGGACUCAAGUAAAUUCCCUCUCAGGAGUUGUUCAGGAGGAAGUGCUUUUUGUGAAGGAUUACCCGGAUGUGUUUCCAGAGGAAUUACCAGGCAUGCCGCCAGAUCGAGACAUCGAGUUUUUGAUAGAGCUGUUGCCAGGCACCGGACCGAUAUCAAAGAGACCAUACCGGAUGCCCGCGAAUGAUCUGGAAGAGAUCAAGAAACAGAUUAAGGAGCUACUGGAGAAAGGUUACAUCCGACGAAGUUCCUCACCAUGGGGAGCCCCUGUGCUCUUGGUUGAGAAGAAGGAUGGAUCGUUGAGAAUGGUUGUUGAUUAUCGUGCGUUGAAUGAAGUGACGAUCAAGAACAAGUACCCACUGCCGAUGAUCAAUGAUUUGUUUGACCAGCUGCAAGGAGCUAAAGUGUUUUCGAAGAUCGAUCUGCAAUCAGGAUAUCACCAGCUGAAGAUACGAGAAAAGGAUAUACCAAAGACAACUUUCACCACAAGAUACGGGUUAUAUGAGUACACGGUUAUGUCAUUUGGAUUGACUAAUGCCCCUGCCUAUUUCAUGAGUAUGAUGAAUAAGGUGUUUAUGGAGUUCUUGGAUAAGUUUGUUGUGGUGUUCAUUGAUGAUAUUUUGGUAUACUCGAAGAAUGAAGAGGAGCACAAGGAACACUUGCGUUUAGUUCUCGAGAAGCUCAGAGGACACCAGUUGUAUGCCAAGUUCAGCAAAUGUGAGUUUUGGUUGAAGGAGCGUUUUUGGUGGACUGGUAUGAAGAAGGAUAUUGCCGAGUAUGUAGCAGUGUGUGAUGUAUGUCAGAGAGUGAAGGCAGAACAUCAGAAGUCAGCAGGACUACUGCAGCCUAUGCCGAUACCCGAAUGGAAGUGGGACAAGCUUGGCAUGGAUUUUAUCACCGGAUUACCCAAGACCCGAUCGGGAUAUGAUUCUAUCUGGGUAGUAGUUGAUCGCUUGACCAAAGUAGUUCACUUUAUCCCAGUGAAAACCACUUAUACAAGUGCGAAGUUGGCCAAGAUAUAUAUGACCAGGAUCGUAUGUCUGCAUGGAGUUCCGAGGACCAUCGUAUCAUAUAGAGGAACACAAUUCACUUCAAAGUUUUGGCAUCAGCUGCACCAGACUUUGGGGACCAGACUAGAGUUUACUACAGCCUUUCAUCCGCAGACAGAUGGACAGACUGAGAGAGUCAAUCAGAUUCUGGAGGACAUGUUGAGAGCUUGUGCGCUAGAUUAUGGAUCUAGUUGGGAUGACAAUUUGCCUUACGCGGAGUUCUCAUACAACAAUAGCUACCAAGCCAGUUUGAAGAUGGCCCCUUUCGAAGCCUUGUAUGGACGAAGAUGCAGGACACCGUUGAUGUGGGAUGAAGUUGGAGACCGUCAGUUGUUUGGACCCGAUUUGAUCAAAGAGUCAGAAGAGAAGGUUUAGCUGAUUCGAGAUAGACUGAAGGUAGCACAGUCCAGGCAGAAGAGUUAUGCAGACCCGAAAUGCAAGGAGGUAGUCUAUGAAGUCGGAGACAGAGCCUAUCUUCCAGUAUAACCUCUGCGAGGAGUUAAACGAUUUGGAGUUAAGGGAAAGUUAGCCCCGAGAUUUGUAGGACCAUACCGAGUUUUGGAAUGUAUGGGAGAGGUUGCCUACAAGUUGGAUUUACCCGAAGGAUUGUCAGGAGUUCAUGAUGUGUUUCACGUUUCUCAGUUGAAGAAGUGCCAUGCAAAGAUGGCUGAUAUACCUCUGAGAGAUACAGUGCCCCUGGAAGCUAUUCAGUUGGACAGUGAUCUGACCUAUGAGGAGAAACCAGUUAAGAUUCUCGAGUUUGCCAACCGAGUUACUCGCAGCAAAGUUAUCAAGUUUUGCAAAGUUCAGUGGAGCCACCAUACCGAGGAUGAAGCCACCUGGGAACGAGAGGAUGAUCUACGCAAAGACCACCCACACCUAUUUUCUAGCCAACCCGAAUCUCGAGGGCGAGAUUCAUCUUAAGGGGGGUAGGUUUGUAACAUCCCAAAUUUUCAAUUUGGAAUGUUAUACAUAGGUCAUUCAUGCAUAUCAUAUUUUAUUACAUUUCGUUUCAUGAUCCUCGAAAUUCUAAGCAACUCAAGGACCCAUGGAGAGAGUUGGGGAUUUCACCGUUUUUAUAUUUGAAUUUUCUCAAAUAUCGAAACAAGGAUCAUUUUGGUUUUAAUUACUUUUCCCUCCAAAAAUAUUUCAUAUUAAAAAAUGAGAGGAUACAAUAUGACUUCUCCAAAAUAAAUGAAAUAUUGGAGGAAAAAUAUUAAAAUCAAACAAAUAAUUUUAUUUGGAUUUUAUUGCUAUUUUAUUUGAAUUAGAAAAUAUGCAUUUUUCAAAAUUGCACUCUUAGGCCAAGAAAAUGUUCACUUUGUUCUAAAUAUUCUAUUUAGACGGUGAAAAUUUGUUUUGGCAUUUUUAGAUUUUUAUUUUAUUUUUUUGGAUUUUUUCCGGCGGAAUCUGUUUAAAAAAAAAGGUCAACGCCCGACUGGGCCAGCGGCCCAGCCGAGCCGGCCCACCUCGCGCCGCCGUCUCCCUCGCGGAAUCCGCGCCGCGCAUGCCAGCCCCGCCGUGGCCGAGUCGGUCACGACGCCGUCGCCCCUCCNNNNNNNNNNNNNNNNNNNNNNNNNNNNNNNNNNNNNNNNNNNNNNNNNNNNNNNNNNNNNNNNNNNNNNNNNNNNNNNNNNNNNNNNNNNNNNNNNNNNNNNNNNNNNNNNNNNNNNNNNNNNNNNNNNNNNNNNNNNNNNNNNNNNNNNNNNNNNNNNNNNNNNNNNNNNNNNNNNNNNNNNNNNNNNNNNNNNNNNNNNNNNNNNNNNNNNNNNNNNNNNNNNNNNNNNNNNNNNNNNNNNNNNNNNNNNNNNNNNNNNNNNNNNNNNNNNNNNNNNNNNNNNNNNNNNNNNNNNNNNNNNNNNNNNNNNNNNNNNNNNNNNNNNNNNNNNNNNNNNNNNNNNNNNNNNNNNNNNNNNNNNNNNNNNNNNNNNNNNNNNNNNNNNNNNNNNNNNNNNNNNNNNNNNNNNNNNNNNNNNNNNNNNNNNNNNNNNNNNNNNNNNNNNNNNNNNNNNNNNNNNNNNNNNNNNNNNNNNNNNNNNNNNNNNNNNNNNNNNNNNNNNNNNNNNNNNNNNNNNNNNNNNNNNNNNNNNNNNNNNNGCCCCGGUUGCGCCUUGCCGGAAUCCGAGCCGCCGCCGUCGGAUCUCAUCGUCCCGGUUUUUUUGUUUUUUUAAAAAAAAACCUAGAUGCGUUUUUUGGUUCGGUUUUCGCCGGUUUACUUAUUUAGCGGACGCUCGUCCGUUCGUUCGUUUUUACGAACGAUAUUCGCCGGUUAGGUUCAGACAGUGAACGUUCGUCCGUUAGUCUUUUCUUUUUACUUUAUUUUCACCCAGGGACCUAUCCGCGAUUACUUUUAUCGCAGAUUAGCCCCUGAUCUUCAAAUACUUGCCGUUUCUUAACCGUUUGUCCAAAUCCAGUGAAACCAACGCCAAAAUCUUUGUCUCGAGUCCCUCUUUCUGUUUAAUCAACUUGAACAAGGUUUUGACAAUUUAAAAUUUGGUUUCAAGCAGAUUUGUAUUCGAAGUUUUUUUGACCGUAGUUUCAGUUCCGUAGCUCCGAUUUGAUUGAUUCUUUUUGCAGAUCGAAUCUCUUCAGUUGAGCUUUCAUAUUUGAUCUUCUUAUUUGAGUUUUACCUGUGCAUCUUUGCUUGAGUGCUUAUGUAUGGUAUUAUUUGUUUGCGAUAGAAUUCCCGGAGUGCGAAGCGUGCUACUAUGAGUCACUAGGUUUUGCGGAUCGUCAGCAAGGCAAGUAACACAUUGAUUAGGGAUGGCACCCGCAGGGUAUGGGUACGGGUGGAGCUACCCCAUACCCUUACCCGUCCGCCCUGAGUUUACCCAUCACCCAUGCCCAUACCCGUCAAGGGUACAAUUUUUUCCCAUAUCCGUCACCCGCCAGGGUAUAUGGGUACCCGCGGGUACAAAUAACCGCGUUUACAACACAUCAAUUGAGUAGAAAAUAGUUGUAAAAAGCAACAUAUAAUCAUAAAUUAUUAAUAGCAACACAUUUUAAACAGCAAUGUACAACAACAUAUUGUAACAACAACAUAUUCUCAUAAAGAAAAAUACUUGCCUAUAAAGUGACAUAUAAAAAUGUUAAACAACAACACAUAAUCAUAAAUAACAACACAUAUGCAUACACUUUUAGUUCACGAAAUCAUGAUAAAUUAUAGAGAUAAUUUGAAUACACAUUAGAGUUUUUACCUAGCAUGAUUAGGAGGGGAAAUGAAUACAUUGGAAUAUUAACGGAAACCCACCUGUCAACAUUUUAGAUGGGUACGCGGGCAUGGGUUAUACGAUCCCAUACCCGUACCCUCUCUACCCGAUGGGUAUGAUAUUUUCCCAUUUAAUUACCCAUGGGUAAUUUUUUGUCCCAUACCCUUACCCUAAUAGGGUUUUUACCCACAGGGUACGCGGAUAAUGGGUACCCAUUGCCAUCCCUAACAUUGAUCAUACUCUUUUCAUACCCAGUUUUUAUGCAUUAGUUUCAAUCCUCAAACACUGCAUGAUUAGGAUGUGAUUAACGUGUGGGUAUUGGGAAGUAGAUGAUGAGGUAGAACCUAUUGCCCUGUUUAUUAUCAAACCCUGGGAGUUACUUCUACGUUAUGCUUAUGUUGCUAUGCUAUGCUCGUAGACGUGGUUUGGUUUGAGAGAUCCAUGGCAGUUGUGAGUGUUUAAUUAAUGGCUAACUUAAGGUGGCAACUUUAAUACACAUCUGGGUGGAUUUCUUGUGGGCACCUGGAGAAUCCAGUGUUGUCCUAGGAUAUCUCGGAGUACCCGUGUGAUCAUCCUACGGUCCGUCACCCAGGCUCAAAGGGAUCAUAAGAUUAUUCAUGCUAGAAACUUCCGUGUGCAGCCACAAGCUAUUAUGGGCUCUAGCAUAGUUGAGUAUAUAUGUUGCAUGACCUCUUUCAAUGGCGGGCUAGCAGAUGUAGGGGAAAGUAGGUGUAACUGUCCACCCAGAGUAAAGAGUUAAUGUUUCUGAAAGACUGUGUCUCGUUCAUCUGUUUUUCAAACACCAUGUAGUGCGAGAAAUCCAACGAAGGAGAUCGAGUCUUGUGGGGAAAAGUGCGCAAACCUCUGCAGAGUGUACAAACUAAUCAUGGUUAGCCGUGUCCCCGGUUAUGAACAUCUUGAGUAUCUGGUCUUGGAUUAUCUUAUGGAUCUCAUCACUCUAAUUUAAUUUGUUGGGUUGAUAACUACUUUUAAUUGGGUUUGAGUUGGAGGAACCUUCUCAAUGUUGUUCAACUACCAUGAUAGUUAAAUAAAAUAUAUUCCUUUGUUGUAGGGAAAAAUUGGCUUUUCGCAAAAACAUAUUAACCAUAGAACCUCCACUAGCCAUAUAUGCAUGUAGUGAUAGCAUCUAUCUUGUUCAUUGCUCUACUGUGUUAUAUUGCCAGCAUAUUCCAUGUGCUGACCCGUUUUCGGGCUACAACGUCUCAUGUUGCAGACUUUUCAGACGAAGAGUAAGGUGCGCUAGGUCGUUGUCGUGCACUCAGCUAUGUCGUUGGAGUUGAUGGACUCACUUUAUCUUCCAAACCUUCCGCUGUUAUUUAUUUAGAUGGCCUUAACCCAUAUUUAUUGUAAUAAGUUCUCUUUUGAGACUAUCGAUGUAAUAAGUGUGUGAUUGCUACUUUGUUAUAAAUCCUUCGAGUACUGUGUGUGUCAGCAUUACCGAUCCAGGGAUGACACUUAAGCACAGAGACUUGACCGUCUGAGGUCGGGUCGCUACAGGCCUGGCGAGAGGGCGUCGAGCAGAGCGCGUCGCGGUAGGACGGGGCAUCAGAUCCGGCGGAGGAGGGACUCGACUCCAUCCAUCGCAGCUCACGGCUACGGCCGACGGUCGGGGGGCAACGGGGUGGCCAUGGGGAGUGGGGGGCGACGGUCCCGGAGUGGCGAUCGUCAUGAGCAGGUGGGCGCUGGGGCCGGAGUGGCCGGCGGCGCAGGAGAGCCUAACACGAGCGACAACUAUCAUUCUCAACCAACGAUCAACUAGACGUUCUCCCCAGAGUUAGCGUUCUUGUUAGACCGACGGAGAUGUUGGUUUCUUUGAGUUGGGUGUACGUGACAUCAUGGUUAAUAGAAUUGAUAAACUACUCAUAUUAGGACUUUCUUUUUCGGAAGUUCAUCUCCAAAGAACCUCCGAAAAAAUGGUUCUCAGGUUCAUGUGAGUAAGCACAAAGUGGGCUGAUUAAGCAUAUUUGACCAAGCUAUAUUCCAGGGGAUAGUCAGUCAUAACAAAUGGAAAUCGAUGAUUGUGGUCAGGGCGUUACACGUGCCCAAGCAUGGAGUGGCUUACUUAGUAAUCAAAUCAAUUUCUCAACAUGCUCCUAAGGCUCAAAUCAUGUCUAUCCUAUGUUUGUCAUCGCCAUCUUCAAGUUCAUAGAUAGAACUAAGAUAAGCUAAAACAAUAAUUAAUUAUUGCUACCUCACUGAGUGGUAGCAACGAAAAUGAAAGGUCGAAAAAUCUGUGAAAACACAUGCGACAACCAUAAAUGAUAGAAGCCUUGUUUGCUAUAGUGGUGCAUAAUAUCAAAAUUUGCCAAAUUGUCCGUUAUUUUAUUUAUUAUAGUUGCUAUUUUUGGUAUAAAACUAUUUUAAUGCUCAUUUUAUUUUAAUUCUUGUUGUAGCUAAAGAAACAAAUAGUUGGCCGGCUAGAAUGCUAAAAUUUCUACUCGUACUUCACUACUUAUAGAUUGACAAUUUACUAUGAAUGAAACUUAGCACAGCACAGCACAGCUGAAGAACCAUAAACUAAGCCUCCUUUCCAAAACAAGUCUCCUCGUUUUACUUGAAAAUCAAAACAAAAAUCACGAUACUUAUUUUGAAAUGGAGGGAGUAAUAGAAAAGCAAGCUUACAAGUGUGCGGCUCAGAUUGAUUUAGAAUUAGUAGCUUAUUUUAGAAACAAGGCAAACUUGUUUUCUCGUAGAAAAAAAGGCCAUUGCAUGAGGUCUCAAAACGUGUGGAUGAGACGAAGCGUUCCUGUUGAACCAGAAAAACGAUGCCAGAAAAGGUAAAACUGUACUACUCUAGUCCACAGAUCACUCUCCAGCCUCCAACCCCAUCCCUUUCAUUACCACAAAAAGAAAAACCCAGCCAUGCCUAAACGCCGUGAAGACGUGACGAGGCUACGCCGUGACGAUCUUUCCUGCGGCGCCCCUCCCGGGCCCACUGUCAACUACAGUAGCCGCCAACCCGCACCUACCGAAGUGCGUCGCUCGGCCCCACCCGGCAGCGCCCCGGCCGCGGCGGAGCCCCACGCGGCGCUCCACGUGUCGGGGCUCCCCGGGCGGAUCUGACGGGCCGAUGGAGCGCGCGGCUUUAGAUUUCGUCGGAUCCCGGCGGGUCGCAAGCCCCACCUGCUCCCUCCGGCCCUCCUCGCCUCCACUUGCUCCACGUCAUGGUCGCCCCGUUAUCUAUUUCCUCCCUCUCGUCCCCUCGCCUCCUUCCUUCCUUCGGCACCACCACUUCUCUCCUCUCUUCUCCCCACAGAGCCCAGGCUCAGUUUUAUCUCUCGCCUGGUCCUCGUGACACCCCGCCGCGUUGUGGAAACAUCCACGGCUACUUCCACGCGCGGGUCAAAGCUCGCGCGCCCACGCCCAUGCCGCCACCGCCCGCCCCUCGACCCACCACGGUGCGCGCCCUUCCCUCUGGCAACGCAAGCGCUCGUCUCUGUCCACCUUUUUGGGGGUUCGCUUUAGCUGAUUUUGGGGCCGGGGGCCUCGAAAUUCGGUGGAUCUCGGCCGCCCGCCGCCGGAAUCCGGCACGGGUGGACCGCCGUGAGGCGCUCUGUCAGUGAUGCCUCGUCGGGGUUGAGUCGCGGUGGGAGUUUGACGCUUGGUUUACCUGUCUGAUUCUGUUGAAAGCUCGAGUACUGCUGAUGCAGUCUAAUUUCAUCUCAUCACCAAGACUAUUUCCUCAGUCUUUUAAGCUCCUAUAAUCUCUAAAUUACGCUCAUCUUUGCUCCAGUAACUAGUACCAAUUUUGUACGGUAAAUCCGUUCUCGCGCCGAGCCUUAACAAUUUCGUACGGUGUGCGUGUCAAUUGACGACGAACUGCCCAUAAUUCGAAGCAUUUCUCAUGCUCGUGAUAGAUUCGACCUUGAUCCAUGCGUGCUCGUUGCAGAUUCCAGUCGUUGGAUGCAGCAUGCCCAUUUCUGAAGCCAGGGCAGGGCAUGCGCCGUCGUCUGUGAACCGUCUCUAGUUGCAAACGCCACGGAUCCAGCUGAUGGUGAGCGCCGGUCAAGCUGGCGCGGACGGACCUUCCACCAGUGAUAUUAGGGGAACCGGAAACGGCGCCGUAGAGAAUGGCCAUGCCCUCGAGGCAAACGAGGACAAGGAAUGGAGGGGCGGCAUCAAGGAAGAGGACUGGCCCAGCACGCACAGUGCGCCGCCGGGCUUGGACGAGCAGAAGCAGCAGCAAGACCGGGUUAUCCGGUGGGAGAAGUUCCUGCCGGUGAAGACACUAAGGGUCUUGCUGGUGGAGAACGAUGACUGUACCCGACAUGUUGUCCGUGCUCUGCUCCGUAAGUGUGGCUAUGAAGGUAAUGCCCUGCAAAUUUAAACUCUAGUUUCAAGUAAAUUAUUAAAUUGGAUUUUGAUCUUUUGUUGUUUGUAGGUCUGUUAGAGGCCAGAGUGUUCAUGUUAUUGUAUUUUGUUCUCUCUCUCUUUCAGUUUUAGAUUUCACUUCGAGUUGAUUUUGAACUGAUAGUGCGACCAUACAUCUAUCACAACAUUUAUACAGGGGGAUACUGAGGCUGGAGGUUAUCCUCCUUUUCCAAAACAAAAAAGAACAAGGGGAUACUGGACUUGCUUAUUGUGGAAAAGGGGGAACUGAAAUUGCUUGUUGUGAAAAAGAGUGCAUCGAGCAUGCUAAAAUAAGAGCAAUGAUUUUGAUGGCACAUCCUAAUUGAUCAUAGCUAAAGACACCAUGAUGCCGACCUGUAUUUAGAACAUGAAAUCUUCAUUCAAUUCCCCAGUCAGCAAUUAGUUGAUCUGGCUAUUAGUUUUACUUCAGUGGAAGAAGGUGCCUGAUGGUGAAUGCUCCCGUCUUGGUGCAUCAGUUGAUGGGCAUGGUCAAUCUUGAUCAAUCAGCAUAGUUUUGUUAACUGUUAACAUGAAUGAAUGCAUAAAUGGCCAGGAACUUUUGUUAGAAAGAUGCCAAGGUGAGCACCAACACCGAGAAAGAAAAAUCAAAUAGCCAACUGACAUUUGGUCUUGCUGCUAAUUGAAAUCAGUGCAACUGAAGUGAUUUGACAAGGCUUUAACUUAUCCCCACUCUCACAAGCUAACUGAACCUAGGAACUUUGCAAACUUGAGCCUAGUUAUCUUUGAGUAGUUUCUUGCACUAAAUUGGGUAAAUACAAACUCUAUUCAAGUGUCAUGGAUCUUCCUGAUGUAAAUUGCACGUUUGAUGUUUUUGUUAAUUCGGUCGGUACAUUAUGUUAUUUCCUAUUAGAAUUAUGCCUUUCCUUUUAUAUUCAAAGGUGAAAGCUAAAUCAAUAUUGCUUUUCUUUGAAACUGUUUCAAUUACGUCAAUCCAUUGACUGCAAAAUGCAUAUCUUUCCUUUGUAGUUAUCUCUGCUGAGAAUGGAUUGCAUGCAUGGCAAUAUCUUGAAGAUGUGCAAAACCGUAUUGACCUGGUAUUAACCGAGGUCGCCAUGCCUUGUCUAUCUGGCAUUGGUCUGCUCAGUAAGAUCACGAGUCACAGUAUUUGCAAGGGCAUUCCUGUGAUCAGUAAGCAGCUUUCCUGCUCAACCAUAUUGCUCCAACAGAUUAAUACACUUAUUUUGGUCCUUGCUAAUUUGUUAGUUUAAAUAUUCUUAGCUUCUAAAGCUUAUGUUGUUUCUGUGCAGUGAUGUCUAAGAAUGACUCGAUGAGUACAGUCUUUAGGUGUCUAUCAAAGGGAGCAGUUGACUUCUUAGUGAAGCCGAUACGGAAGAAUGAACUUAAGACCCUUUGGCAGCACAUAUGGAGGCGAUGCCACAGUGUAAGUUGCUUGUUGUUGGUCUAGCUUAUUUCAUGUCGGAAAACCAAGCCCAAAAGUCACGAGGGCAUAGUUUCUUUGACCUACCUAUUUAUCUUCUCUGAUUAUCACUCUGGAAUUUGCCUUUUUCUGAAUCUAGUCCAGUGGAAGUGAAAGUGGCAUCCAUACACAAAAAUGUUCCAAACCGAAGGCUGGUGAUGAAUAUGAGAACAACAGUCAUGAUGACGAUGACGAUUGCGGCAGUCAUGAUGACGAUGACGAUGACGAUGAUGAUGCCGAUGACGACUUUAGUGUUGGGCCCAAUGCUAGGGAUGGCAGUGAUAAUGGCAGUGGCACUCAGGUACGUCGGUUACUUAAAAUUGGAAGGUACUUCUUACUCAUCAGAAGAUUGCGAUAGAUGUAAUAUAAAGGGUAUUAGUUGAAUACUACUCGGAACAAAUGUUUGACUCUUCCAAAAUUAAUAGGAUUAAUACCUCUGCUGUUGAAAAGCUAUGUGUUAAGUACAAUUUUUUCGUGCACAUACUUUGUACUUCCUAGUAAUUCACUAAUUCACCCCAGAUCAGAUCCUAGAGCGAUUCACCGUGGGCAUUUUAGACCUUUUAACGUCUCACCCUGAGUCCACCCUUAGAACUGAGUAACAAAAUGAUAGCGUUUGUGCCAAUGUUUUUUAAGAAAUCUCUUUUGAAAAUCUAUUCUCAUGCCGCCGAUCUAUAUUAAAAUGCAGAGUUCAUGGACGAAGCGUGCUGUGGAGAUUGAUAGCCCACAACUUUUGUCUUCUGAUCAUCUAGCAGAAUCACCUGAUAGUACUUGUGCGCAAGUAAUUCACCCCAGAUCAGAGAUAGGCAGCAAUAGGUGGUUGCCGACUGCAAAUAAAAGGAACAUCAAUAAUCAAAAAGAAAAUAAUGGUAUCUUAUGCUAACAGUAUCCUUUGUACAAAGCAAAUACACCUUUUUCUUUUACUGUCUGUCAACCAACUGCCACUUCUAUGCAGAUGACUCCAUGGGGAAAUACUUAGAAAUAGGCGCUCCUAGAAAUUCAAGUCUUGGGUAUCAAUCUUCUCCAAAUGAGAUGUCUGUUAAUCCAACAGAAAAACAGCAUGAGAAUCUCACAUCCCAAAACAAGUCAGUAAACAAAAUAGUCAUCGACAAACCAACUUGUCAAACUGCUGAUUUGAUUAGUUCAAUAGCCAGAAACACAGAAUCGAAACAGGCUGCUAGAAUCACUGAUGCACCUGACUGCUCCUCCAAGAUGCCAAACGGGAAUGAAAUGAAAAACGAUUCUCCCAUCAACAUGCCAUCCCAAGAGCUGGGUCUGAAGAUAUCGGAAACAACUAGAUGUGAAACUGAAAUCCAUGAUGAACGAAGUAUUCCGAAAAGAUCAAAUCUGUCAGCAUUCACCAGGUGCAAAGCAUAACAUCACUAUAGUUACUAAGUUAUGAACACAGCAAUAAGUUGCGUACUAACUGUCCUUUAUUUUGCAAGGUACCAUACUCCCAUGGCUUCCGAUCAAGGUGGGGCAACAUUUCGGGGAAGCUGUUCACCUCAAGAUAACAGCUCAGAGGCUGUGAAAACGAACUCCACCUGCAAGAUGGAGUCAAAUUCAGAUGCUGCUCAAAUAAAGCAGGGCUCAAAUGGCAGUAGCAACAACAAUGACAUGGGCUCCAGUACAAAGAGUGCCAUCGCAAAGCCUUGUACAGACAGGGAGAGAGUUAUGUUACCAUCACUUGUUAAAUCGAACCAGCAGACUUCAGCAUUCCAUCCGGUGCAGCACCAAGUGUCACCAGCUCAUGUGGCACGCAAGGACAAAGCUGCUGAAGAAAUUGCCAAUGCAGUGAAAGUGGGCCACUCAAGCGAGGCACAGCAAAGCUCUGUGCAGCAUCACCAUCAUGCACACUAUUACCGCCAUGUUAUGGCACAGCAACAGACAUUAAUUGACGGUGCAUCAAACGCUCGGUGUGGCUCAUCCAAUGCUUCCGAUUCACCCAUGGAAGGUCAUGCUGCUAACUAUGGUGUGAAUGUGAGCGUCUCAGGCAGCAAUAAUGGAAGCAAUACGCAGAAUGGAAGUAGCUCCGCUCCCAAUAUUGCAAGGCCAAACAUGGAGAGUGGUACCAUGGACAAAAUUGAGGCUGACGGUGGCAAUGGCAGCGGGAGCAGGCCGAGCGGUAGUGGCAAUGACAUGGUUUGUCAGAAUCAGCUCAGCCAACGAGAAGCUGCAGUGAACAAAUUCAGGCAGAAGCGGAAAGAGAGGAACUUCGGGAAAAAGGUAAAUCUAUUUUCAGCUACAUGCUUUCUAAAGCAGGGACUUCCAAAAUUAGGCCCCUUUCAGUUUGAUUUAGUAUAGUAUGAAUGACCAGGAAUGUUUUCCUAGUAGUUGGACGCAAGUCAUGAUGAUGAUGAAUAUUAACUUCUUACUUCUGAAAGAGAGAAACGCUUAAUUUCGUCAAAACAAAACAAAAAGAGAAAGAGCGAGAGAGAAACAUGAGCUUUUAUGUUGCUUCCAAAAAUGUAAUGGCAGGCCACUAAACGGAAUAGCAUAGCAGCAUAGGCGUAGAAAAUGUAAUUGAUAGUGCCUUGGGGAGUGUGAUUUUAUCUGCUGAAGCAUUUGACGUCUCUGAUGGUCUGUAUUGACGGCCUCGUCGGCUUGGCUAUUUUCAGGUGCGGUACCAAAGCAGGAAGAGACUGGCCGAGCAGCGGCCACGUGUCCGUGGGCAAUUCGUUCGACAGUCUGGACAAGAUGAGGCAGGCCAAGCAGAAGACGGAUGACACGACCCUCCCUUCUGGUCCACUGUAGCGUCUGUUACUACAUACGUACAUAGGUUAUUGACUCUCACAUUAGAGUGCUCAACAAAUAAAGACCCACCCGUAUGAUUAUUGUCCCUGGCCGGCCGACUCCAGAUGAACUUUUGUAAUAUCUAAUCUAUGUGGCCAUCCGUCGUAGUAAGUACCAUGCAUGUUACCCCUCGUUGUGGUUUGCGAUCUUCAGUUCUCUUGGAGAGAUAGAUAUGCUUAGUCUUACUCAAGAAGAGUCUUAAGAAGGAGCAAGCCAGUAGCCAAGUUGUCACUCAUAUCUGUAUAUAUCUAUCUAUAUACAUAAUGCAUGUUAAAUUAUUCAACCUUGACCAAGCUGUCACUCGUAUCUAUCUAUAUCUAUCUAUAUACAUAAUGCAUGUUAAAUCAUUCCACCUUGACCAAGCUGAUAUAACUGACAAGGUGGUGUUCUAAAGUCAAAAGGUUGCACUUCACUUCUACUCCCUCUGUAGAGAAAUAUAAGCUUGUUUAGAUCACUAAUAUAAUGAUCUAAACAAUCAUAUACUAUUUCUUUACAGAGGGGGUAAUAUAAGACCUUUUAGAUCACUACUUUACAGAGGGAGUAAUUAUGUUUUGGCAUUGCAGUUCCCCUAGCGUCUGCUCGAAUACUCCAUAUCACAGGCUUACAAUGUUGUGUACAUCCCCUUUUCCAAUGAAUAAAGGCAACACAAACUUCCCAAAAAAAGGCAAAAAGAGAUGCAACCAUGCAGGUCCUGAACCGGGCAAUGCUGCUUUCCUUUCCAUGAUAUUCCUUAAAACAGGGCAACUUCAACAUAACGAGAGACGCAUCAACUGGCAUCACUGAAGCGAUAUCUGCUGUGCAGCUUUACUGUGGCCAAAGUUCUAAUGUCUGCUCCCUGGGUAGAAGAAGUCUGCGCCGUUUUCCUUCACCUUAAAAUGGAAGCUCCAAACUUUCCGCCCUUUCGCCGGCCUUUGCUCGAUGAGCAUUCCUUUGUUUACCACUGACAGCUGUUGACAAAAGAAUGAAACGCUUGUCAACUCUAAAUAAAAUGGACGGUGCCAAGUGCCACCAUUCACAAUAAGACCAACGUUUGCCGGAGUAAUUCACAGCUAUCUAUAGUGGCUCAAAAAAUCAAGCCAAGAACCUAAAGUAUGCAGAGUGGUGAUCAAGAAGGAACCUGACCUGUCCAUGAACAUCAGUGGCUAAACCAGUGCUCAGAGGUGCUGCUUUAAUCACAAGAUCCGCAAUAUAGCGCAGAUGUGCGAGAAGUCCCACACCAUCCUCGCUUGAAUAAAUAUCCUCAUGAAUAAGAACCACAAGCGAGCAAUUCUGCCAAGACACAAACAAGGUGUAAAAAAUGUGAAUAUGCUGUGAAGAAAGAGUACUGGCAGUGAUUGGCAGAUUCAGUUUUACCAUCUCAGACGUAAGUGUCACACAAUAAUGCAAGAAGUCCAAGACAUCAUCUGCAGAACCAUUGGCAGCAACUUCCAAGAGUGAAACAUCAUCUAUCAUAACCGUGAACCGACCUGCAUUUUCUCCAGCCCUGCAUGUCUCCACCACUCUCUGAACAGCACUAUACAGCUGAGCUAAGCUAUCAGCAAUGGCACCUCCCCGUGUUCCACCUGAGUAAACAAGCAUGCAAAUCAGUGACUUGUUAACAAUGAUGCAGCAUUUGGAGAAACAAGGUACUCAAAGAUUGUUUGCUUGCUUGCCUGGGAACCCCUGCAAGUCAAAGAAAUGAAGUCUCUCACUCUUCCUAUGCAUGGAUAAGUUACAGCCCUGGAAAAUUUCAGAAGAAGAAAUCAUGAGCCGUCCAACAUUUAGAGUAGGCCACAGUACUGGUAGAAAUCGAAAAAUAUACGCUCUCUGAAUGGUCAGUCCAGCCUCCAGUGCAGCAAUCAAAGUUAGAUUUAACUUGUGCAAACUUGCUAGACCUUCUGGUUCUGGAUGAGCUGGUUGUUGAAAUACUGAAAUUUCACAUACAUUGAGCUAUUGCUGCCAGUUCAUUCGGUACUGGCUUCCUGGCAACACAAGUAUACAGUUCUGACAUGAAGCAUUAUGCAUAAACCCAAUGAUUCACUGUUAUGAUGGAUGAUGUUGGGCAACGGAGUCGGAUUUACGACAGCGACUUCCAGCAGUGAAACAUCAUCAGUCAUAACCGUGAAGUCCCCCCAGUCCAACCUAUUUAAACUUUCAAAGUGCGAGUGUUUGGUAUGGGAUUCGGUCCCAUAUUCAGAUUAGAGCAAACUUAUUUAUACUAUUCCGUAGAUUCUAUACCCAGAUCACCUUGUCAAAUUUUGUGAUGGACUGUCACCCAUUUAUUUACAGAUGAUGAAUCGAAGCAAGCAUGAGCACGAUUACAUAAUUUCUCUACUAAGAACAUACUACAAGUCUGCAGUACUCACUAAGUAAGUAACAAGUGUGUGUGAGACAGAGAGCGUGGUUAGGUUAUGGUAAGGCUGGGAGCAAGCACGGGACGCUUACCAUCUUGCGGAGGACGCGGUCGUAGUGCGAAAAGGGCUGCGCGAGGGCGAGGAGCGCCGCGCCACCGCCACCGCCACCGCCCGCAGCGAGCGCGCGCUUGAGGAGGAGGUGGAGGACGAAGGCGGCGGGCGCCUCCACGCAGUCCUCCACCACCACCACCCGCGCGCCGGCGCACAUGGCCUCGCUGAGGAGGUCCCCCGCGCCGUACUCCUCCAUCUCCGCCUCAAGCUGCGGCGGCGGCGGCAGCCAAGGAAGGAAAAGGAGGUGCCUGAGCGAAUUUCACAGAGAGCAAAGAAAAAACAAAGUCCAGAGGAAGGCGCACUUGGAGGAAGUACGUAACGUAGGUCCGAAGGCGCAUCGACCGUAGCGGAGAGUGCGCGUGCGUGUCCACGGAAGCAAAACGGUCACGCGGGGCGGGCGUGGCGUGGCGGAGGCAGCAGACGGCACCUGAGGACAGUGGAGCAGUUCCGUCCUUCCUCGGAGUCGUGGACAAAAGGGUGGACGGAGUCGUCUCGUGUCGACUCGUCCGUUUCUCCCCACAUUCUUCCUGCGCUUGUCGUCCGUUCCAACCUCCGGCUCCCAAACCCUGCGCACUUCCCUCCCUCCCUCCCCACUGCAUUCCGCGCCUCGGGACGCCAUGGGGUGCUGCACCUCGUCGCAGAAGAAGGGCGCCGCGGCGGGGGACAGGAGGAAGGAGCCCGCCGAGAAGCCGUCCCAGAUCGCGCCGGCCGCCUCGCCAUCGCCCACGCCCUUGCCCUCAGCUGGUACGUGCGCGCGGCUUCUCCUUCUUCCUCCUCUUCCUUGCGGUGCGGGAAUUCUUCUCCUUCUUCUUCUUCCCCAACGCCGGUGCGCCGCCGGUUCUUGGCCGUGUGCGGCGGCCUGCUAGUUUGGCCCCGCCGCUCGAGGUAGUCUCUUGGUAUCGUGCGGUUGAUCGGAUUCUCGGUUCGUUUCUGACGUCGGUGGUCUAUGAGCGAGGGUUCUUGCGCGGCUGAUCCCGUGGUUUCUUGGCGCUACUUCACUUGAUGUUUGGUUCGUGAAAUGUGUACGGAAUAGUACCAUGGCAUGGGCGGCCGUGCCCGUCUUCGCUCCCACAAUUUGCGAUGCCGCAAUGCUUUCUCGUGAUUUUUGCGCAAUCGUUCGAGUCGUUGCAUUCUUGGGAAUUAGGAUUUCUUGCAAGUCCAUUUCUUCGCGAUUAAGUAAUCGAUUCCGCCAAGAAAGUGUGAUUCUCGGCCCUGAAACCGCACAAGAUUCACGCGUUCCUCUCUUUCUGCUUUGCAUGUGCACAUCUUUGGAUAUACUACCAAGAAAUUGCCGCAUCUUUGGAUACUUCAAUUCACUUUUUUACCAAUCGGCUACUCCCUCUGUUUCAACUUUCAAGUUUGCAGGGCAAUGGAGAGGUCUUGUUCGCUAAUGUACCAUGACAUUUUUCUUAUUCUUGUAGUAGUACAUGUACAUCGAAUAUAGUUAAUUUUAAUAAAUCAGGAUAAUAAUUAGGGGCAUUCUACUAGUCAUUUAGUAUCUCAUUGGUCUGUGUGCAGGACAAGAUAUACUGGCGCUAUACACUAUAUUUCCAACCAUUGAGUAAUUAAUUUCGCCAUGAACUUGUGGUCCUAGGGCUUCUUCUUCUUCUUCUUUCUAUAGAACACACGUCAGAGCACAGUCUUGAGGUCUUCUUCUAUAUUUAGAAGAAGAUAACCAAAGUGGCCCAAAACCUACACAACCACCGUGGCAGUGGCGGCGUGGCGCCGACCAAAACAGUGCAAAUGUCCAAAUAAUCUUCUAGAACAGAAAGUGCUGUUCUGGGCCUUGAAACUGCACAUUAUCUUACCAGCUAGUGAGUAAAUGUUCUUUGAUUCUGGAAAUUUUUAUUUAGGAAGUAAAUUAAUGUUAUUACCCGAUCGCGAUGCUAUGUGUGAUGUAUACUUAAUACAUGUUCCCGCUCAAAUUUGAGUCCCUUUUUCUUGCUAUGGUUGGAUUAGUGUGUUGGCAAAGCCCGGAUUUCAGUGAUAUAGAUGAAAACUUAAGUGAGACACCAAAAUAAAAUUUUGAAUAUGCGCAGUACGAUAUGUCAAAUGAAACAGGUUACAUGUUGUUUAUAGCUGCCCCUGUUUAUUGUGCUUAUUAAUGAGGUACAACUGUAUACAUCUAUGUGUUCCUGGUGUAUUACUAGGUGUACAUGUCUGUCUAAAUUUAUUGAUUUACUGUGUCCAAUUACUGGGUUUUAAAAAAAAAAUUGGGAGUCUACCUAUAGAAUUACUAUGUCCAAUUACUGGGUAACCCCAUGCAUCUAUACUUUACUCAAAAAUAAAUAAUUAGAUUACAUGAUUGCUUCAACAUGGAUAUUGUUGAGUAAAGAAUUGUGUUAUUUCUGUCAUUUUGACUUUUCUGUUUACAAUAAACCUUUUUGUUCUUGCAUACUAAUUGGAAUUGUUCGGUUCCUUUUUGCUGAUUCAUAAUUUUCCACAUAAACGGGUGUUGUUCUGGAUAAUGAAAGUGUUUAGGCUUUUUCAUGUGAUAGCUGACAACUACAUUGGUGGUGCAUCUAUUUUGUUUCUGCAGAGAUUUCUAGAUUAGAGGCCAGUCAGGGGGCCGUGCGCACUAAGUUUAUCUCAAGCCCUGGUCCGCAUACCAAUCGCCUAUCAUUCACCUACGAGGAGCUGAAUGCGGCGACAUUGGGCUUCCCACGAGAUCACUUUCUGGGAGAGGGUGGGUUCGGAAAGGUUUAUAAAGGUGUGCUGGACGGCAACGAGGUGAGUUCAUGUGUUACGUUUUAUGGGUAGUCAAUAAUUGGAAUUGCAGUCAUGUUCGAUGAUGUAUUAAACACGGAAGAUAUUUUCUUGCUAAAUUGUUAGUCACAUGAACGACAAUGUGAUGGGAAGUUAAACCGAUGUGAGUUCAAGAAUGGAUCAUGGUAGCAUUUUGUUUCGUAUUUUUUAAUGUGGUCGACGAUCUAUGCUAUGGUUUACUGAGGUUGUUUUGUUAUGAAAAGUGAGGCUUGUGAGGAUAUGGUGUACUAUAUGAUCCGCUUGUAUGUUGCUGCAACAGGUUGCUAUAAAGAUUCUCAACCCCAAUGGAUUGCAAGGGAACAGAGAGUUCUGCACAGAAGUUAUGGUGUUGAGCAGGAUGCAUCACCCGAAUCUUGUCAAGCUUGUUGGCUUCUGCGCUGAUGAUGAUCAGAGGCUUUUAGUCUAUGAAUACAUGCCUUUGGGUUCAUUGGAAACUCAUAUUUUUGGUAUGUUACUAAACUACCAUAUAUUGUUUAAAGAAUAAUCAGAACCUUGUUUAACCGGAAUUCGGUUUUGUUUUUUAUCCUCCUAGAUCUCCCCCCUGAUAAGAAGCCUAUUGACUGGAAUACAAGGAUAAAGAUACUUGUUGGCGCAGCUCAAGGCCUGAAGCAUUUGCAUGUGAACUGUAACCCUCCUAUCAUAAACCGUGACGUGAAGUGUGCGAAUAUUUUGCUUGGUGAGGAAUAUCAUCCAAAGCUGGCCGACUUUGGCUUGGCAAAGCUAGGUCCGACUGGCGACGAUACUCAUGUUUCAACUAGAGUGAUGGGUACACCUGGGUAUUGUGCACCGGAGUAUCUUGAGAGCGGUCAGUUGACCAUCAAGUCGGAUGUUUACAGCUUUGGUGUUGUCAUAUUGGAGGUAAUCACAGGAAGAAAGGCUUUAGAUCAGAGUCGAAUCAAAGCUGAGCGUAGUCUUGCUGAAUGGGUAAGCAUCACUUUCUGCAUUUUCUUUUUCUUUUAUAGAACUACUCCUUGCUUCUCCCCAAUGCUAUAAUGUCUAUACCAAGGACAACAUUGUGUUUACCUGAGAUAUCUUUGGUGAGUUCUGAUUUAUAUUUGCUUCUGAAAACUGGCAGAAGCAUCAUAAGUUUAUCGGUAGUUUUUAACCAUCUGAUUAGCAUGGAUUUGUUAUUUUCUUUUAUUACAUUUGGUCUUGCCAUUGCUGAGAUAAGAUUCUUCUUGGCAUUUCUCCAUAAUUCCUCAUAUGGAAGCCACAAUAGGUUUGGCCUACACUAGACAGAAACAUAUAUAGUUUUUGUUUGGCCCUUUAAUGUACAUCUUAAGAACCCUUUGUCUAAAAAGUAAAACGAGUUUCUCUUUCUGCGAUGAAGAUUAAUUGUUGUGACUUUUGUUGGUGUAUAAUUUCAGGCCACCCCUUUGAUCAACAGGAGGGAUUUUGCAUUGUUGGCAGAUCCAGCGCUUGGCAAUCAGUACAGCAUGACAUCAUUGUACCAGGUCCUUUCCGUUGCUCGAAUGUGCCUGAAUAAAACAGCCAGCCAGAGACCUCAGAUUACAGACGUAGCUGCCGCUCUCGCUCACAUCUCAAAGUCUAGAAGAACGCGGCGACUAGCCCACCAGCAGUCAGCAGCUCAAGUUCACCAACCCGGGGAAGAUAUAUAGGAGGAACUAGUAGUAUAUCAUAGUCAUGGGGACACCGGUGCAAAGCAAUGUAGUGUUUCUGGCUUUGUUAUGAUGAUCAUGAUGAUGAUACUGUGAUCAAGAACAUGCUCUACUCCCCAUUCCGAUAUGGCCGAAUUGCUGGAGGGGGGAAGUUUUGUUUGUAGAAACUAGAUAGAUAGAGUAGAGUAGGUGCAAAUAUCCCUGUGUCCCUUGCUGAGGGCCUGAGGCUUGUCAUAUGUGGUCUUGGAGACAUAGCUUCAUAGUAGUUGAGGAUACUUGCAUGACGCUUAAUCUUCGCUUCCUUCUCUUGUUGACAUGUUGCUGCUGUACGUGUGCUCUUCAACCUGUACCUAAAAGUGUUGGUUUUGUUGAGGUUGUGCCCCACAAAUUUUGGUUCAAUCUCUUCCUUUUUUUUCCCUUUCUAACACAAAAAAUCUAGGUUGUCACUUGUGUUUUCAUAUUUCCAUGCAUAUUUUUCACUAUGUAGUGUUUACUCCUAUUUUAUCUGCCAUUUUUCAGGUGAUUAUUAUCCAACUGUUCCUGACUCUUGUGCCAGGCAGUUGCAUGUCCUGCGACUGGAUGCUAUGGGCAUGACAGGUCACAAAAUGUAGACGAACACAAAUAUAGAUGCCAUAUAGUUUACUAAAUAAUGAAUGAUCAUUCCUGGCAAUAAUCAACAGAUACUUUGUAUUUUACACUAAGCAACAUAUGCCAAUAAUAUGUUGCAAGCCAACGGUAUCGAAAGAACAAAUAAGACACUGGAACAUCAUUUCCUUUACAGUGCUUUUGCAAAACUCUUUCCACAAGAGGAACAAAACAUGCUCUUCCCCAGUAUAACCCUAUGACAUCCUCAAAAACUAACCUAACAACACAGGGGGUUUCGUGUGUAUUUUUUCUUUCUCCUAACCGUAACACUAAAUAUUGACAAUCUUAAUGAAACUAAUUGGAGAAGAAAAUUUACAUGGAUGCCUUGCAAAGAUUUGGACCUACCAACAUAACUCCAUCUGACCAUUGAACCCAAUAUGAUACAAAGUACAAUUUCAGGAAAACUUCAUGAGAAACAUAAGUUGAUUCUUCCUGCCGACAAAAAUUAGCUGGUUUCGAAGGAUUCUUCUAGCGAUUUGGCAACCCAAUCACUCAUGGAUAUCAAGAUCCUUGCUGGCACCGACGAUUUUCUACCUGAUUCCACAGGAGUUUAGCCUUCAUUCGUUUCAGUGGGAUUCGACUUUCCCUGAUAAAAGUAAUUCGAAAAUUAAUGAACCAACAGCACCUUAGUUUUUUAUCAUCUUUCUAGCUAGAAGAACCAUUGGGAUUGUCAUGAUUUCAAAAUGCUAUGUGAAUAUAUUGCUCUAACUUUUUCUUCUCCUUUUCUCCAAGGAUUGCAUAGAGAGGUUGGUCCUUCUGUAUAGAUACACAAACUAUUAUAUCCUAGGGCACUGCACAUUUUACGACAUACCUUGCUCUUCUCUAGCCAUCCAAGCCCCCUAGAAAGUAAGCCCACUUUCUUGUUAGGUGUAUCUUGAUUUGGUUCUUGAUUUAUCUUCCCAAGGUCUGCAUGCGGUGACCUACAAAAGAAUCCAGUAAAAUGAAAUGUUACCAUUUGAACAUAGACUUGCAAUAUUAAAAAUCAGUGAGAAAUAUAUAUAACAACUAGCAGUAACCACAGUAUCUGCUGACAGAGAACACGACAAUGGGAAAACAAAAGAAAUCAACUAAAGCACAAGCUAUUAAGAUACGUACAAUGAGCUGAAAAGCAAAUUAGUCUUGCUCGUUGCCCAGUGUAAAGUUCACAACUGUAUUUUGAAAAGAGCACAGCAAUAGUACUAGGUAAUACUAGGAGGGUGGAAGAUUUCAGCUAAGUAACCAAAACAUACUUUGGGGCGAACGUUUGGAUGGCUUUAACCUGCCCAGCCUGGUACUGCUUUGUAGCUUCCAACAUAGUUUCUGCCAUCACAGCUCUCUUCUCCAUUUGUGAAAGCGCUAUCAAGACUGCUUCAUACUUCUCCUGCAUAUACAAGGUAUGAAACCUCAUGCAUCUCACCUUCCCCAACAGUAUAAGUUGUACAAGUAGAAGGAAAAACAGCACUUCCAGAAAACAGCUUUUAAAAGCGGCUCCAAGAUUAACCUGGAUCAAAUGAGCAGCGUAUUUUUGUUCAGCAGCAUCUCGCUCAGCAGCUAUGCGUGCAUCUUCUGUCACUUUCUGCUCCUGCUCCAUUCUUAACAAAAUCUGCAUGGGCAAGUAAGUGUACUUUUUAAGCAAGAAGACAGAACAAAAUACUUCAAAGUUGAGAGUGUUAUGCAAUCUAAAGCCAAGGCACUAAGACAGCACCUCAAGCAUUGCCUUUUCUUGUUCUUGCUUAUCUUCGAAAGUUUCUCGGAAUUCAGAUACCUCUGCCUCCAAUUUCUCAACCUGAGAAUCUUCUCUAAGUCAAGAACAUAUAGAUCUAAAUUUAAGAAAGAAGGGAAAAGGGACCAAAGGACUUAAAGUACAUCAUUACUGUGAUAAUCUUAAAGUGACUCUUUAUUUAGAAACAAAUACAGACAUAAAGUACAAGGCGCGUGCUCUCUGAUUUUGCUGACCAUGUGGCGACUCAGGAAAUUGCAAAAUGACUGCGUCUUUGACUCUGCUAAUCCUAAUGUUGCCAUGCUGGUUGAGGAAAUCAUCGUCGAAGCCAAGCUAUAGAUGCUCACUGGAGGGAAAGAGCUGCGUCGGCUGCCACUGCACACACGGCGGCCUGACGUUUGAUCCUAAUCAUUUAGGGCAGCUGUACAGUUCUUUCCCUUUUUGGUGUGUUUUUGCCUUGUUUUGUUGUAGCUUUAGCCCUUAGCCUUUCAGUUUAUUGCUCUUCACAUUUUUCGCUGUUUUGGCUGUAAGACCCACGCCAUCUCAGUGCCUCUUCUAAUACGGAAGACAUGAAUUUUGAUGCAUGUUUAGGAAAAAAAUCCAAACAUAAAUAUGCAAGGGAUCCUUUUGUUAGAGUUAUAUUUAUGGUGGCCUUUGGCAUUUUGCAUUCUGGCCUUUGGCCUCCCUUGUACAUGUAUAUAUGAUGGCUUUUGCCCUUUGAUAAUACUAAGUUGCAUAUUUUCUAUCAUGGUAUUAGAGCUUUAGGUUCUUUUUUCGCACGCUGCAACUCGUGCUCGAUCCAAUCACGCCGUGGCGAUCAUCCUUUUCCGGCUGCGCUGCUCCAAACCUUCUCCUGCUUCUGCUUGGCCAUUGCCUCUUGCGCGUGCAGUUUUCUCUGCUGCCGCUGCUCUACUCUCUUCCCCAUCCGUGCGAGAUUGAUCUCGAACUGGAAAACGGAGCAGCUGCUAUCGGAGGUCACCAUCUUCGUCCCCGCCCGGAUUCCAUCUCUGCUGCCGGUUGCUCGCCGUUUCUCUGCUGCCGGCGGCGGGUUCCACCCCAAGUCGCUGUUCCUAGUCGAUUUUCUGCCGCCCGUUGCAGCUCAGAUUGGGACGCGCUCCCGAUUCGGCCACACUCGAUCGGGACGCCCGCCGCCGACCUGAUUCCCGUCGCCGUUCGCCGGUUCCCGUCGCCGGCCGCCUUCAGAUCGGGCGCUCAUCUGGCCGUCGCCUGCUGCCAAUCGGACCUGAUUCCCGCCGCCGGCCGCCUCCAGAUCGGGCACUCAUCAGGCCGCCGCCUGCUGCCCAUUGGGCGCUUUCCGCCCGCUUGCUCCAUCGAGGCGCUCGGCUGGGCGGCUGCGAUCGGGCUGGUUCGGCCCGCUGGCUUCCUGCCUCGUGCCUGUGCGCUACCUUUCGGCUGCUUUUGGCUGAUUUCGCUGGUCGUUUUUCAGUGUAAAAAAAAGAAAAAAAAGAGUAAAAAAAAUCUGAUAUGAUGUCUCCUUCGGGCCUGCAUCUCCGUCACUGCCCGCAGUUUUUCGACGGUGUUCCCUAUAUUGAUCCUGUCUUGCACAGGCGUCGUCGUUCAGUGCUUGGUGUUCGUCGCUGCGACGUUGUCCCCUACGGCAUAGCAUCUUCAGCAGGCUGUGCUGGUCACUAUUCAUCGAUUCUUCUCGCGGCUUCUGCCCGUGGUGAUGGUGCCUGCUCUACACCAACUGCUCUCGUGGCUUCCGUGCGCGGCAAUGACCGCUUCACGUCGUCUCCCUCGAUGGCUGCCACAUGUGGCUCUACAUCGACUCGCCACUCUCGGUCGCCUCCAUACACGGCUUUCACGGGUGGUAGCGACUGCUCAUCGUCGGCAGGUGUUUCUACCUCAACUUCUUCCGCCGUGGCCUUGUCUGCGCGUGAGAUUGCGCAGCUGCAAUGCCUUCUUGCCGCUUGGGAAUCUUCUGCAGGAUCCGUGACCGACUCUUCUGGCAAUGAGAAACCACCUUCUACCCAUUCAAGUACAUCCCCAUGGAUUCUUGAUACUGGAGCGUCUUUUCAUAUGACUUAUGAUUCUUCCACUUUGACCUCUAUUCGACCAGUCGAGUCUCCUGUUCGUGUUCUUACGGCUGAUGGCACUCCCCUUCUUGUAGCUAGUCGAGGCACUCUUAGCACUUCUUCAUUUCAUGUUCCCUCUGUAGCUCAUGUUCCUCGACUUACCAUGCAGCUCAUAUCUGGUGGACAGAUUGUAGACUCUAGUUGUAGGGUCAUUCUCGACUUUGAUCCGUGUUCUGUUCAGGAUCGUCGCACAGGCGCUCUGCUUGGUGCUGGCCCUCGACGCUCUGAUGGUCGUUGGGAGCUUGACUGCCUUCGUCUUCCCUCCGCUGCCACCGUCGCCAGUGUCAUAACCCCUGUUGCUGCAUCUACCAGCUCUUUUCAACAAUGGCAUCAUCGUCUUGGCCAUUUAUGUGGUUCUCGUCUCUCGUCUUUGGUUCAUAGCGGUGUUCUGGGGUCUGUCUUCGGUAACGUUUCAUUGGAUUGUCUAGGUUGUAGGCUUGGCAAGCAAAUUCAGCUACCCUAUCCUCACAGUGAGUCGGUGUCCGAGCGCCCUUUUGAUCUCAUUCACUCUGAUGUCUGGGGUCCGGCUCCCUUCGCUUCGAAAGGGGGUCAUCGGUACUAUAUUUUCUUUAUAGACGAUUUUUCUCGGUAAAAUUUGCUGCCAUGGUUCAUACCCAGUUCUCCACUCCUAUUCGUGCUUUUCGCGCAGAUUCAGCUGGUGAGUAUAUCUCCCAUGCGCUGCGAGGAUUCCUUGCUGAGCAGGGUACUCUUGCCCAGUUCUCUUGUCCUGGUGCUCAUGCUCAAAAUGGUGGGGCUGCGCGCAAGCAUAGUCACCUUCUUGAGACGACGCGUGCGAUGAUGAUCGCUGUCUCUCUUCCGCCUCACUUCUGGGCUGAGGCUGUUACCACUUCCACUUAUCUCAUCAAUAUUCAGCCAUCUGCUGCUCUACAGGGUGGUAUUCCUCUUGAGCGUCUUUCUGGUCGUUCUCCUGAUUAUUCGGCGCUUUGCUUAUUUGGUUGUGUUUGCUAUGUUUUGCUUGCCCCUCGCGAACGCACCAAACUGACCGCUCAGUCUGUUGAGUGUGUUUUUCUCGGAUACAGUGAUGAGCAUAAGGGCUAUCGGUGUUGGGAUCCCGUCGUCGGAUGCGUAUUUCCCGGGAUGUCACCUUUGAUGAGUCUCGUCCCUACUACCCGCGACCAUCCUCCUCGGUCUUUUCCACGGAGGAAAUCUCUUUUCUUACAUUUUCGGAUACACCCCCCUUUGUGCCCAGUAUUCCUACUCCUCGUCCCGAUGUUGCAGAUCCGACGCCGUCCUCUCCUAUGGUUUCUUCUCCUCCCUCAUCGCAUGACUCUCCACCUUCAUCACCGAUACCUUCCUCUUCUCCACCUUCAUCACCGAUACCUUCAUCAUCGAUACAUUCCCCGUCUCCACCUCCAUUGAUUCCACCUCUCCCCUCCUUUCCUUUCCAUUAUACUCGUCGUCGACGUGUUGUGGAUGAGUCUACUGAUGUGCCCUCUACUUCUAAUGUGUCGUCUUCCUCCUCUCAGCCGACUUAUGGUCUUCGUUCUCGGCCUUGUCCGCCCCCUGAUCGAUAUUCUCCUUCUCACUAUGGUCUUUCGACCGUUGUUGAGCCGACUUCUUAUCGAGAUGCUAUUGUUCAUCCUGAAUGGCAAUUUGCCAUGGCAGAGGAGAUUGCUGCCCUUGAGCGCACCGGCACGUGGGAUCUGGUUUCUCUUCCUCCCCGUGUUCGUCCCAUCACUUGUAGUGGGUCUAUAAGAUUAAGACGCGCUCUGAUGGUUCUCUUGAGCGUUAUAAAGCUCGUCUUGUGGCUCGUGGCUCUCAGCAGGAGCAUGGUCGUGAUUAUGAUGAGACCUUUGCUCCUAUGGCCCAUAUGACCACUGUUCGCACACUUCUCGCUAUGGCCUCUGUUCGCCACUGGUCCGUUUCUCAGCUUGAUGUUAAGAAUGCCUUUCUUAAUGGUGAGUUGCGUGAGGAAGUUUAUAUGCAGCCACCACCUGGGUAUUCAGUUCCUGAUGGAAUGGUUUGCCGUCUUCGUCGCUCUCUCUAUGGCCUUAAGCAAGCCCCCCGCGCUUGGUUUGAGCGUUUUGCCUCGAUGGUCACUGCUGCUGGUUUUUCACCUAGUGCUCAUGAUCCAGCGCUGUUUGUCCACCUUUCUGCUCGUGGUCGCACUCUUCUUCUUCUAUAUGUUGAUGACAUGAUCAUCACCGGCGAUGAUCUUGAGUACAUUGCCUUUGUCAAGGCCCGUCUAAGUGAGCAGUUUUCUAUGUCCGAUCUUGGUCCACUUCGUUACUUUCUUGGGAUUGAGAUUUCCUCCAUCUCUGAUGGCUUUUUUAUUUCCCAAGAAAAGUAUAUCCAGGAUCUUCUUGCCCGUGCGGCUCUUAGUGAUGAACGCACAGUCGAGACUCCUAUGGAGCUUAAUGUUCACCUUCGUGCUUCUGAUGGUGAGCCCUUGUCUGAUCCGACUCGUUAUCGUCAUCUUGUUGGGAGUCUUGUCUAUCUCGCUGUCACUCGUCCGGAUAUCUCAUAUCCUGUCCAUAUCUUGAGUCAGUUUGUUUCUUCUCCCACUUCGGUUCACUAUAGUCACCUUCUUCGUGUUCUACGAUAUCUUCGUGGCACGAUCUCUCGCCGUCUUUUCUUUCCUCGUUCCAGCUCGUUACAGCUCCAGGCCUAUUCGGAUGCUACCUGAGCUAGUGAUCCUUCGGAUCGUCGUUCACUUUCUGCUUACUGUGUCUUUCUUGGUGGUUCUCUCAUUGCCUGGAAGACGAAGAAACAGACAGCAGUUUCCCAUUCGAGUGCAGAGGCUGAAUUGCGAGCUAUGGCUCUUCUCACGGCAGAGGUGACUUGGUUACGCUGGUUACUCGAGGAUUUUGGUGUUACUUUUACUACACCAACUACACUCUUGUCAGAUAGUACAGGUGCUAUCAGUAUUGCGCGGGACCCAGUGAAGCAUGAGCUCACCAAGCAUAUUGGUGUUGAUGCUUUCUUUGUGCGCGCUGGUGUGCAGGACCAUGUUAUUGCUCUUCAGUAUGUGCCUUCCGAGUUACAGCUAGCGGACUUCUUCACGAAGGCCCAGACUAGAGCGCAACAUGGAUUUUAUCUCUCCAAACUCAGUGUUGUGGAUCCACCAUGAGUUUGAGGGGGGGUGUUAGAGUUAUAUUUAUGGUGGCCUUUGGCCUUUUGCAUUCUGGCCUUUGGCCUCCCUUGUACAUGUAUAUAUGAUGGCUUUUGCCCUUUGAUAAUACUAAGUUGCAUAUUUUCUAUCACCUUUUAACCCAAAAAAGGACGGGGAGUUUGUACUGCCAUAAAUUUGUGCUGUCCUAUGGAAAGAAGUUAGUCUAGAUAACAUCAUUACCAUAGCACUCAGCGUACGUCUAUUGUCCUGCGUGACCAUCUCCAUUAAAGCAGUUUCUAACUCCUCGGCCCUGUGAUUAUCAAGAAAUAUAAGCCAAGCUUUAUGGACAUGUGUUGACAGGCCAAGUAAGCAAAAUGUUACAGUGCAAAAUUAAGCCAUAUGGCCCAACUUACAAUGACAAACAAGAUGAGAAUAUACAUGAAUUUAAAGAUUAAUACCAAUUCCAGAUGCAGAUUUAGAUAAGACUUUUAUAGUGAAACCGAUGAACAGGUUUCAAGAAAUUUGGUCACACAAAGUAAAUAUCUUCCGACUUAUCAUGAAGACGUGAAGGAGAUAGGGAGCACAGUGUCCCUUUGAAUAAUACCUUUUCCCCUGAAUACUGUAGCUAAACUCAGAUGUAUGAACAGAGCCAGUAGACAACUUUGUUAUUCAAACCAAAAAGUUUUUGUUUUGUUUGCUAUUUUAAAUAUAUGUUGAAUACCAAAAGGUACUUUUGUUUUAACUAUCACUCAGAACGUUGAAGGACAUGCAUUUUUCCUUAUAUUUAACUGAAGAACUUAUACCAGCAUCGUAGCAUAACAGGAAAAUGAAAUUUAUACCGAUGCUGCCUUAAAGUGAGCACAUAUUACAAGUCUUAAGGGAACAAAUGAAAUCAGAACCAGAACAGAAGUAACAUGAACCUGAGUUCAGCUGAUCUUUUCUCCUCAAGCAGUUUGCACAGCUCAACCUUUAGCCAUUUUACCUGUGUGAAAGCAAUGCAACGUGUUCAAAAUUCCAGAUUGGCAAAAGAAAUCAGAUUACUAAGCUCAGCGAAAACUAAAUUAUACAGAAAAAGAACCAUCAAGCGUGACCAAAAAUCAGUUUGGUUUCAUGCCUGGGAGGUCGACCAUGGAAGCCACUUUCUUGGUACGACAACUUAUGGAGAGAUACAGGGAGCAAAAGAUAGACUUGCAUAUGGUGUCCAUUGACCUGGAGAAGGUUUACGAUAAGAUACCACAGAAUGUCAUGUGGUGGGCCUUGGACAAACACAAAGUCCCAACAAAGUACAUUACCCUCAGCAAGGACAUGUAUGAUAAUGUUGUGACAAAUGUUCGAACAAGUGAUGGCGACACUGAUUACUUCCCGAUUAAAAUAUGACCGCACCAAGGGUCAGCUUUGAGCCCUUAUCUUUUUGCUUUGGUGAUGGAUGAGGUCACAAGGGAUAUAAGGAGAUAUUGCUCUUUGCAGAUGAUGUGGUGCUAGUCGAUGAUAGUCGGACGGGGGCUAACAGGAAGCUAGAGCUAUGGAGACAAACCUUGAAAUCAAAGGGUUUUAGGCUUAAUAGAACUAAAGCUGAGUACAUGAGGUGCGGUUUCAGUACUACUAAGCAUGAGGAGGAGGUUAGCCUUGAUGGGCAGGUGGUACCUCAGAAGGAUACCUUUCGAUAUUUGGGGUCAAUGCUGCAGAAGGAUGGUGAUAUCGAUGAAGAUGUGAGCCAUCGAAUCAAAACCGGAUGGAUGAAGUGGUGCGAAGCUUUUGGCGUUCAAUGUGACAAGAGAGUGCUACAAAAGCUAAAAGGCAGGUUCUAUAGGCCGGCGAUUCGACCCGCAAUGUUGUAUGACACUGAGUGUUAGCCAACUAAAAGACGAUAUGUUCAACAGUUAGGUGUAACGGAGAUGCGCAUGUUGAGAUGGAUGUGUGUCCACACAAGAAAGGAUCAGGUCUGGAAUGAUGAUAUACGGGAUAGAGUUGGGGUAGCACCGAUUGAAGAGCAACUUGUCCAACAUCGUCUGAGAUUGUUUGGGCAUAUUCAGCGCAGACUCCAGAAGCUCCAGUGCAUAGCGGACGGCUAAAGCGUGCUGAUAAUGUCAAGAGAGGUCGGGGUAGACCAAACUUGACAUGGGAGGAGUCCGUAAAGAGAGAUCUGAAGGACUGUAAUAUCACCAAAGAACUAGCCAUGGACAGGGGUGCGUGGAAGUUAGCUAUCCACGUGCCAGAACCAUAAGUUGGUUUCUAGAUCUUAUGGGUUUCAGCUCUAACCUACCUACCCCAACUUGUUUGGGACUAAAGGCUUUGUUGUUGUUGUUGUUGUUGUUGUAAAAAGAACCAUUAAACUAUACAAAAAGAUCAUCACAGAGAACUGUUACGAAUAACCAAGUUUUAACCAUCAAAGUAACAAAUAAACUUGGAUGCAUAUUAUACACGCAUCUUUGUUACAUUCUUUUAGGGAAACAACCAUCUCAUACAGGAAAAAAUGGAAAUCAGUAGAAGAGGAUCUUUUUUACCUGAUCUUGAAGAUCAAUGCCCUCAUCCAACUCAUUUUCUAAUGCUGAACCAGUAAGGUAGCUCCCCAGGGUUGUUGACCCAGAGUCCCCAUUCACUUGCAAACCAUCUGCCCCUUCCUUGGAAUCAACUUGUGGACACACAGAUGAGGGGUCAUGUUUAAAGCUAUAUAAUUUAGUUGCUAACCCCUUCUUAUCUUUCCAGGAUUUACGGUCUUUUGAUCUUUCCUCCAUAGCCGCUAUAAUCUCAGGCCUGUGCUUUUCUCUUAGCUCUCGCAAUCCCAUUUCUUUGACUGACUGAAAACCCAUACAAGCUGUCAAUACAAGUUGGCUGCUGUCAAAGGUAGAGCCAGCAAGAGACUGCAGUAACGUAAUUGCAUCUCCAGCAUCCUUUGUGGUCACCAAGGCAGGCCCUAAAAGUUAACAUAAAAGAUAUAGUGUUGGGCAGACAUCAAAGUUUAGUCAAAUGAACAAAAAAUAGGACAUAGUAACAUUUUCAGAUUAAUCCAAAAACAGAUAACUAGUACCAUAUAAGUCCAGCAAAGCAAGGGUUGUCCGGAACAACAUUGUACGAUUUCCUUCAAAGAGGAUCACAUCCCAAACACGAAGAACUAAAAGACAGGAAAAGUUCCAAUCAGGUAUAGUUAAAUCAUUAAUCUGUCCGAACAUAUAUACAAAUAUAAGGAUUAUGUAACACAUAAAAAACUAGUGUGGGUUUUUUCAAUAUCCUAACAAAUUUUCCUGAGAUGCUAAGUAUUUAAGGGGCUCUAAAUAAUCAAAUAUUACAGCAGCAAUCUAGAGAAAAAUGUUUGUAAUUGUAUAUUGUCAUAUCUUCAUGAAAGCACAAAGAUAUUGUAUAAAACCUGACCACUUUCCCAUGGAAGCAUGUUGAUGAAAAUUGAAAGAAACCAUGGUCCAGUCACCCAUGUCACCUGAACUCCCAAGAUAUCCGUAUGUUUGGCUGAAAGAGAGUUGCGACCGAUGUCAGUGCAAAGUGAUAACCACCAUCAAACGCUCUCAAGGAAAUAAAUCAUUGUGCCUUCAGACAAAUCUAAGCUAUGUCAGCUCCUGAUUUCAACUGAAUGUGAGUCAUAUCCACAUGCGUCAUUUUUUAGUAAUACUGUGAAUGUAAAAAUACAUAGGUAUCAGUAAUAUCACUGGAAUACAGACCCAAUUUUGGGAACCUUUCUCGUACAACGUCCUCAAGAACAAGUUGGUCAACCUGUGAAUGAAGCGGCAACAUUAUACAACUGUUCGUGGCAUAAAAAACAUGGAUGAAUAAAUUGUCAAAAAAUCAGAAGUACCUGUGAUUCAAUCAUUUCCUCAGUGUAGUAACCCUCAAAGUACUCGUCAAUGACCCCCACCAGAGCCCUAAAAUACAAAAAAGGCAAAGAAAUUGUAGAACUGGAGAUAGCUUACGAUCUUGAACCAUAAAAUUAUCAUUCAUCAGAUGUAGCUUUCAAGAGAAAAGGCACAGUCCUACCAGAAUGCAUUCUCUUCAGGCAUGAACAAUAAAAAUAGCCCGGCAAAAAAGUUCAUGGCCUACAAGAAAAAACAAAGAUGUAAGAUAAAAUACUACCAUCAUUAUGUCAACUUAAAAGUACAAAGCAGAUUUUAGGAGGGUCUGUCUAGGACAUAUCUAGAUGUACAUAGUUAUGUCACAUCUAAGCUGAUGUACACUCUGUCUGUGGUCUAUUUUUUCUUUUUAGUUUUUUUCUGUUUCUUGUUGUUGCAUUAUAUAUUUGUGGGAGCUUAGAUGUGACAUCCUUAAAUAACAUCUAGAUGUGAAUUAGACAAACUGAUUUUAGGAAAAUAGGCUCAUACAAACCCCUUCACAGGUCAGCACACUAUGCAAAAAAAAAAAUCAUAACACUAAUUUAGGCACAUGUAGAAAAAUCAUGACAAAGUAAUGAUUUGCAUACUGUACAAAUAAAGCAAGAGAUAACAAGAAGUUAUAUAACAAAGCAAUGUUCAUAUCUUUUGUUUCCUUGCACUACACACAUGAUAUUAUUUUUCUACACUACCAUGAUUGUUUUUUAGAUUUUUUAAGAUGUCUAGGCGUACAAACUCAUGGAUGGUUACAAAAAAUAAGGUCAAAAUCCAAAAAUCUUCAAUGAGCAAAUUACC
RNAcentral lists this long non-coding RNA (70814 nucleotides) under Triticum aestivum (bread wheat). RNAcentral's name for it is "long non-coding RNA (TAES_LNC004606)". Lineage: Eukaryota; Viridiplantae; Streptophyta; Magnoliopsida; Poales; Poaceae. The record is from RNAcentral.